CACGUCCCAGCCUCUCUCGCUUAUGGAACACACGUAAGCACACGCACGCCGGCGGCCCGCGCGUCGGCGACGAUCUAGCCGAAGUGGUGGUGCUUCUUCUCGCCGCUGGCCUCCUUGGCCUCCUUGUGGUCCUGCUUCUUCUCGUGGUGCUCGUGGAAGACGAAGCCGCCGGCACCGACGGCCGCGGCGGCGGCCAGCUCCUCCUCGAUCUUGUGCUUGUGCGCGUGUUCCGGGUCCUUCUUCGCCUCGUGCUUCUCGUACUGCACGUGGACAAGCAGUUCAUUAGCCAAGCCCGGAAAGACAUGAACUACGUAUAUAUCUAUAUACGCGUAUGGGUAAAUAGUUACGAUGAGAGAGAGAGAGCGUACGAGGGCGAAGGCUCCGGCGGCGACGGCGCCCAUCUCGCCGAGGUGCUCCUUGUGCUUGUGGUGCUUCUCCUCCUUGGUGAUCCGCUCGUACUCGCCCUCGUUGCCGGUGCCGGUCACCACCGUCUCGGUCGAGUACCCGUACACGUCGGCGCCGCCAUCAGCGGCGGGCUGGAAGUCCUCGCCCUCCUUCUUGUGGUGGAACAGGUGGUGGUGGUGCUUCUCCUCCGCCAUGGCCGCCGGCUGAUCGAUUAACUAGCUUGUAUGUGUGCGUGUAUGUGACAGUGGGACAGCUUCUUAUCUGCUUGGUCUGUGUAGGCUUCCUACUGGCCGGGUUUUAUAGGCUGAGGCGACUGUUGGAAUGGACGGUGGAACUAACCGUUCCGUUCCACGGGUUAUGGAUACUGGAUCCAUCAAAUAUACAGUACGUAUGCAUACGAUUGUGAUCUGCUUUAUGUACGUGUCCCGGAGUCAUUGGAGGCUUGGAGCCCAAGCACUCAGGCAACCACAGGACAGGGGGCCACGUUCUGAUGGCCAACGGUGCAGCGCCCCACCACCUUCUUGGCACUUGGCAGAGUUGCAGCUUGGGGUAGCUUACAUGUGAGUAACAAAAGUUUAGAGAAGUGUCGGCAUGCACGGAUUGGCUGACGGUGAUGUGGCACCGCGCACGCCUUUCCCUGCUCCCCGCGUCCACUAUCCAGCAACCUUUACUCGUAUGUAAUUACGUGUGCGCAUUAUUACUUUUUCUUUUUUGAGAAGUACUCCGUAGUACUAUUUGUGAAAAGUAAAAACGAGAGAGAGGAUAAAAAUGAUGGAACCGUUGCUUUCAUUGAUGGAUUGGGAGUAUAUAUACCCCUGAUACAAGGCAGUUACAAAGAGGCAGUUGCUACUAGUAGCAACCGACAUAGCGGGGAUUAACCCUUUAAUUAAUCUAAUUAAUUUAUUUCUAACACUCCCCCUAAUCACUGCUUGUCUUGGAUAUUUAUUAUCUUGAUAAAGACUCCUCUUUGUAUGUGUCUUUAAGAAUGUCCAUCAUCUUCGUGAAAGCCUUUGUAUAAUCUUGAAAGUCUUCCCAAAAAACCCUGUGGGAAAAAAUAUGAGGAGAAUAGUGUAGGUAUGUUGCUAAAACUCCUUUAAACCCGGUGGGAAAAUAAUAAGGAGAAAAUAAUGCAACAUAUAAUGAUUAUUGUCUCUUGAUAACUCAAUCGAGAAAACCUUUGAAGAAGGAGAAAAAUCAAUUGUGAGUUUAGAGAACAAUUAAUAUGUCUUUAAUACUUUCUUUAAAAAAACCCAAUAGGGAAAAUAGAAAGUAUGGCAUAUGAUUUUGAUAAUAUAUUGCCUCAUUAAAAACCUUUUUAUGAGAAAACUGAUGCAAAACUCAUAAAGGAAAAGAGUACAAUUAUUAUCUGAUGAUAAUUAAUGGGUUAUGAGUCUAGGAAUUUCUCCCCCUGAAAUUUGCAAAUCUCGAAAACGUCUCAUACCAAUUCCAUGAAUAUAUUUCUGGAAUGUUGAAUUUGGUAAAGACUUUGUGAACAAAUCUGCUAGAUUGUCGCAUGAUUUGGUUUGCAAAAUAUCAAUUUCUCCAUCCUUUUGUAAUGCAUGAGGAUAGAAUAACUUAGGAGAAAUGUGUUUUGUGAUAUUACUUUUCACAUAACCCAUUUGCAUUUGAGCAAUGCAGGCUGCAUUAUCUUCAUAUAUAAUAGUUGGUGAUCCUAAUGAACCAACACCACAUGAAGUUUGAAUAUGGUUAAUCAUCCUGCGAAGCCAUACACAUUCUUUAGAUGCUUCAAAUAAUGCAAUAAUUUCAGAAUGAUUAGUGGAUGUUGCUACGAGAGUCUGUUUUGUUGACUUCCAUGAAAAAACAGUUCCACCAUAUAAGAAUACGAAACCUGUUUGUGACCUGGCAUUGUGAGGAUCAGAUAGAUAGCCAGCAUCAGUAUAUCCUACCAUAGUCAUAUCUUGGUUUUUCUGAUAGAAUAAGCCAAGAUCUUUUGUGCCAUGUAAAUAUCUAAGGAUAUUCUUUACUCCCGUCCAAUGACGUUUUGUUGGAGCAGCGCUAUGUCUAGCUAGUAAAUUUACCGCAAAUGCAAUAUCAGGCCUGGUGCAAUUUGCAAGGUACAUUAGCGCACCAAUGGCACUGAGAUACGGGAACUCAGGUCCUAAUAUCUCUUCGUCAUCAUCCCGAGGUCUAAAAGGAUCUUUAUUCAUAUCAAGGGAUCUGACAACCAUGGGUGUUUUGGUUGGAUAUGAUUUAUCCAUAUUAAAUUUUUCCAAAACCUUUUGAAUAUAUGCAGGUUGGUAUACUAAAAUUCCUGAGGGAAGAUGCUCAAGCUGUAAGCCUAAGCAGAAUUUGGUCUUUCCCAAAUCUUUCAUCUCAAAUUCCGCCAUUAGAUGAUUGCGUGCUUCUUCGAUAUCAGGUCUACAUCCAAUGAUAUUGAGGUCAUCAACGUACACUGAGAUGAUGCAAAAUCCAUUUGGGGAUUUCUUUAUAAAUACACAAGGGCAAUCAUCAUUAUUUGAGUAGCCUUUUUGAAUAAGGAACUCACUCAGCCGGUUAUACCACAUUCUACCCGACUGUUUUAAGCCAUAUAGUGACUUUUGUAAUUUUACACAAUAUGCGUUGCGAUUUGCUUUUGGAUUCGGCAUUUUAAGUCCUUCAGGGACUUUCAUAUAUAUAUCCGAUUUGAGUGACCCAUAUAAGUAUGUUGUCACUACAUCCAUCAACUGCAUAGAUAAAUUCAUUUGUACUGCCAAAGAUAUUAAGUAUCGAAACGUUAUUCCACUCAUUACAGGAGAGUAUGUAUCAUCGUAAUCGAUGCCGGGUCUCUGCGUGAACCCUUGUUCUACAAGCCUCGCUUUGUAUCUCACCACCUCAUUGUUUUCAUUCCUUUUUCGAACAAAAACCCAUUUUGCUCCAACAGGGAAGACAUUGUGAGGAGUAGGUAUUACUGAGGAAAAUACCUCUCUUUUGUUGAGCGAGCGCAGUUCUGCCUCAAUUGCUUCCUUCCAUUUAGGCCAAUCAGGACGCUUGAGGCACUCCCUGACGGUCUUUGGUUCUGGAUCCAGUUGAAGGGUUUCAGCAAUUUCAGAGGCGAAAUAUAUGUCGACAAUUGUAGUCUCUCUAUUAUAUGAUUCUCCUAAUUCUGUAUAGUUUAUGGAAAUUUCUUUUAUACCUUCAGACUCUAUGUGAUUUCCCACAACAAUAGAAUCAUGGUGUUCCGAUGUCCCAGCAAUUAUGUUUUUAUGCGCAUUUAUGCUUGGUUCAAGAUGUUGAGCAUCUGGUUGGUGUCCUUCAACUUGAGGUUGAAUUGCAUUUACUGGUAGAGGAUUUGAUUUCCUCUGUUUCCGCGGAGGCUUUUGAGAAGCUAUAUUCCGACUAACCAGAUUUCUCCCCCUCUUACUCUCAUUUGGGGUUUGAGUGGUUUUAGUUGGUACCUCCACUCGUUCUGGUGCAUUAACAGCGGGAAUAUGUGAUUUAGUGACACCUUUAUGGUGAGUAAAUGCAUCUGGCAGAUUAUUUGCAAUGUGUUGCAAAUCUAUGAUCCUGUGAACUUCAGUUUCAGAUUCUUUAGUACGUGGAUCUAAGGACUGAAUGCCUGUUACAUUCCAAUCUAUUUCCUGGCAUUCUUUGUGGUUUGAUUCUCCCCCUAAUGCCGGGGAAUGGUCCUCAUCAAAAAUAGAAUCAGCGUAACGGGCAGUAAACAGGUCCCCUGUAAGAGGUUCAAGAUAUUUAAUAAUUGACGGAGAAUUAUAACCCACAUAGAUCCCUAGUUUUCUGUGGGGGCCCAUGGAUGUACGCUGCGGUGGUGAUAUCGGUACGUAUACUGCGCAACCGAAUUUUCGCAGAUGGGAAAUACUUGGCUGAGUGCCACGUACUAGUUGUAGCGGGGAGGUUGUAUGAUAUGCAGUUGGUCUGAUUUGUAUCAGAUCUGCGGCGUGUAAUACCGCAUGUGCCCAACAAGAUGCUGGUAAAUUACAAUUCUGUAAUAGUGGUCGAGCAACUAAUUUUACUCUUUUGAUGAGAGAUUCAGCCAAACCAUUUUGAGAUUCUGCGGCGGUUCUGGCGGUGGUUCCCGGCGAAGAAGCGGCGAUGAGGGCCACUCCGGUUCUGGCGGUGGUUCCUGGUGAAGGAACGGCGGCGAGGGCCAUUCCUUGCACCAAGGCCCUCACGGCGACGUGCAAUGCGGUGGCGCUGCGUGCGAGUGAAGCGGCUGUCUUCUUUCUGCAGGAAACGUGCGAAAGCAAAAGCAAGCGAGGACAAAUCUCUCCCUGCCAUUCUCACCUUUCUCUUGGCUCUCUGUCGCUCUCGGCAGAGCAAGUGCUGAUAACGUGUGAAAAGUAAAAACGAGAGAGAGGAUAAAAAUGAUGGAACCGUUGCUUUCAUUGAUGGAUUGGGAGUAUAUAUACCCCUGGUACAAGGCAGUUACAAAGAGGCAGUUGCUACUAGUAGCAACCGACAUAGCGGGGAUUAACCCUUUAAUUAAUCUAAUUAAUUUAUUUCUAACACUAUUAUUGGAAAACAUGCAUACACAUGCAGAUGUUUGGAUUUUUUCACUGUUUUGACCUUACAUGUAAACAUGAGCACAAAAUGAACUCAGUCUGAAAAUAUUUUUGGAUCUGACCUUUCUUUAAAACGCCAGAGUCCGUCGCGUUGCUGCUCCACGUAGAAACGCCAGACUAACGUGGCGUUUUUGAUCUACAUUCAAACGUCAGUCUACUGGACGUUGCAGCAUAUAUAGAAACGCCAAGUUCAGUCUGUUGUAAGUUGAAUCGAGAGAAACAAAUGAAUCAAUUGUCACUUUAUUCCUUGAUGAUUGAACACUUUAUAUGCCAGGGAAAGACGGUUCCCGGAGGCGACGCUCCAGGAACAAUACGCCGGUUCCGCAUCGUGGGGGGAAUUCACGUGCGGUUACAAGUAGAGAUUAAUUUAACUAAUUACAUAAUUAAUUAAAUUCUAACACUCCCCCUAAUCUAUACUUGUCCAUGAGCGUGUCCAUCAUCUUGAAAUAGUCUCCUCCAAAAACCCUGUGGGAAAAAUAUAAGGAGUGGUGUAGUAUAUGCGGCUAAAACUCCUUCAAACCCUGUGGGGAAAUAAGGAGAAAAUGAUAUAGCAUAUAAUGCGUAUUGCCUCUGUUAACUCUAUAUGAAAUGUAUCCAUAGAAUAAGAGGACAAUAAAUAUGUCGUAUAUACUUUCCUAAAAACCCCGGUGGGGAAAACAGAUAGUAUGACAUAUGAUCUUAUGUUGAUAUUACCUCAUUAAAAACCUCGAUGAGAACCUAUAAAGUAAACUCAUAAAGGGAAAAGAGUGUAAUAUGAUGCUUUGAACAGGAAGAGUUCAGGAAGAGACUCCCCCUGACUCUUGCAAAUCUCGGAGCCGUCGCAUACCAAUUCCAUGAAUGUAUUUCUGGAAUGUUGAAGCUGGUAGAGACUUCGUGAAAAGAUCAGCUAGAUUAUCGCAUGACUUGACUUGCAAGAUGUUGAUUUCACCACUUUUCUGGAGUUCAUGGGGAUAAAACAACUUAGGGGCAAUAUGCUUAGUGAUAUUGCUCUUUAUGUAUCCUGUUUGCAUCUGUGCAACACAAGCCGCAUUAUCUUCAUAGAUAAUGGUAGGUGAUUUGAUAGAACCAAUUCCACGUGACUGUUGUAUGUGGUUUAUCAUUCUGCGAAGCCACGUGCAUUCACGUGAUGCCUCAUAUAAAGCAAUUAUUUCAGAAUGAUUGGUAGAUGUUGCAACUAGGGUCUGUUUUGAAGACUUCCAUGAUAUAGCAGUUCCACCAUGUAGGAACACAAAGCCGGUCUGCGAUCUGGCAUUAUGGGGAUCAGAUAAAUAGCCAGCAUCUGUAUAUCCAAUUAUACCAGAGUCUAGUUUUUUCUGGAACUGAAUAGGCCAAGAUCCUUUGUGCCUUGGAGAUAUCGAAAGACAUUCUUGACUCCCGACCAAUGGCGUUUGGUGGGAGCUGCGCUGUGUCUAGCAAGUAGAUUUACUGCAAAUGCGAGGUCAGGUCUCGUGCAAUUUGCUAGAUACAUAAGCGCUCCAAUUGCACUGAGAUAUGGAACCUCGGGUCCAAAAAUCUCUUCACCAUCAUCCCUUGGCCUGAACGGAUCUUUCUCUACGUCUAGAGAUCGAACCACCAUGGGAGGUUUAGAUGGGUAGGAUUUGUCCAUAUUGAAUUUCUCCAAUAUUUUCUGGAUAUAGGCAGCUUGGUGUACCAUUAUUCCUGAGGUAAGGUGCUCGAGUUGGAGACCCAAGCAAAAUUUGGUUUGGCCCAAAUCCUUCAUCUCAAAUUCCAUCUUUAGGUGAUUGCGUGCUUCAUCAAUAUCUGGUGUACAGCCGAUGAUGUUGAGAUCAUCAACAUACACAGAAAUGAUGCAAAAUCUUGUAGACGACUUCUUGAUGAAGACACAUGGGCAAUCAUCACUAUUGGAGUAACCUUUCUGAAGAAGGAACUCACUUAGUCGGUUGUACCACAUCCGCCCCGACUGUUUUAAGCCAUACAAUGACUUAUUCAGCUUUACACAAUACAUGUUGCGUUUUGCAUUGUUACUCGGGACAGAGAUUCCGUCAGGAACCUUCAUAUAUAUGUCCGAAUCUAGUGACCCGAAAAGAUAUGCGGUCACGACGUCCAUCAACUGCAUGGAUAGACGAUUUUGUACUGCCAUAGAUAUAAGAUAUCGGAAAGUUGUUCCACUCAUUACUGGAGAGUAUGUCUCAUUGAAAUCAAUGCCGGGUUUCUGCGUAAAACCUUGUGCUACGAGCCUUGCUUUAUAUCUCACCACCUCAUUGUCCUCAUUCCGUUUCCGGAGGAAAACCCAUUUGAAUCCCACAGGGAAAACAUUGGGAGGUGUAGGUAUUGCUUCAGUGAAUACCUUCCUUUUGUUAAGCGAGGCAAUUUCUGCUUGGAUUGCAUCCUUCCAUUUAGGCCAGUCGGAGCGCCUUUGGCAUUCGACGAUAGACCUUGGAUCAUGAUCAGUGAUAAGGAUAUCUACAAUCUUUUCAGCAAAAUAUAUGUCGACAGUCGUAGUCUUGCGGUCAAAUGAUUCUCCAGAAUCAACAUAGUUGAUGGAAAUUUCUUGCACCCCUAGAGACUGUUCGUUAUUUCCCAAUACGAUUGAGUCUAGGUGUUCCGAUGUUCCAGCUAGUUUGUGCAUACUGGAGCUGGGUUGUGAAGGUCUCCCUUCCACUGGGUGUAAACUACCCAUAAGGUGUUCAUCAACGUUGAGUUGACUUGCAUUUACUGAUUUUGAGGAUCUUCUCCUCUCUCUCCUUUGCUGCUUGCGAGAAGCAGGUUCCGGGUCAGAGGUCGUACUACUCCCCCUCUUUUUAGGAACAGGGAGUUGAGUGGUUUUAGUUGGUACCUCCACUCUUUCGGGCGCAUUUCUGGCUGGAAUCAAGGAUUUUGUAACACCUUUUAGAUCAGUAAAUGAAUCUGGCAGAUUAUUUGCAAGAUGUUGCAAAUUGAUAAUUUUCCGAACUUGUAGUUCGGUCUCUUGAGUACGUGGAUCAGAGGCUGAAAUGGCAAUGGCAUUCCAAUCAAUUUCCGAGCAUUCUUUCUGGUACUUGAAAUCUCCCCCUAAUGCCGGAAAAUGUUCCUCAUCAAAAAUGCAAUCAGCGUGACGGGCUGUGAAUAGAUCCCCAGUAAGGGGUUCCAGGUACUUGAUAAUCGACGGCGAUCUGUACCCCACAUAGAUCCCAAGUUUCCUGUCUGGGCCCAUGGAUGUCCGCUGUGGUGGUGAGAUUGGGAUGUACGUAGCACAUCCGAACUUACGCAGAUGGGAAAUGCUGGGAGGAUUUCCACGUACCAAUUGCAGAGGGGAAGUACUGUGAUAUGCAGUAGGUCGCAAUUGGAUUAAGUCAGUAGCGUGUAAAAUUGCAUGACCCCAACACGAAGUUGGUAAGCUGCAAUUCAUUAACAAAGGUCUUGCAAUGAGUUUGAUCCUUUUAAUUAGAGAUUCGGCCAAACCAUUUUGAGUAUGAACGUAUGGGACAGAGUGCUGAACUUCAAUCCCCAAGGCCAUGCAAUAGUCAUUGAAAGCACGUGAACAAAAUUCUGCAGCAUUGUCCAUGCGAAUUGAUUUAAUUCAACUUUCUGGAUAAUGGGCCUGUAACUUAAUUACUUCCCGCAUUAUCUUGGCAAAUGCAUGGUUUCGUGUGGAUAGAAGGCACACGUGUGACCAUCGUGUAGAUGCAUCAAUCAGAACCAUGAAAUACCGAAAUGGUCCAGAUAAUGGUUGGAUAGGACCACAAAUGUCACCUUGAAUGCGUUCAAGGAAGUGAAGUGGUUCAGCUUGUAUUUUAAGGUGUGAUGGCCUUAAAAUUAGUUUCCCUGUGGCGCAGGAUGUGCACACAAAGUCUGAUGACUGAGGAAACUUUGACUCGAGCAAAUUAUGACCAAUAGAAUUGCUAGUAAUUUUCCUCAUCAUCCCAACACUGGGGUGGCCAAGGCGAUCAUGCCAAGUUUGGAAUGCAUUAACAUUCUGAAAAAUUACCUUGUAAGCAACAUGUUCUACGGGCUUGAUGUACGUAUAGUACAGUCCGGACGAUAGUGAAGGAAUUUUUUCAAGUACUUGCUUGCCAUAUCCGUAAUCUUUUGUGAAGAGUAGAAACUCUUCUGUGUUGUCCUCAUGGGUUUCAAUGUGAAAACCAUUUUUACGGAUAUCUCAAAAACUGAUUAGGGUACGGGAUGAAUCAGGAUACAGCAAGGCAUCCUCAAUUGUCACUUGUGUACCACCUCGGAGGGUAAAUAUGGCACGUCCAGUGCCAACAAUUACCGUAUCGCGUCCAACGAUUGUCAAAAUAUCUCCAUUCAUCUUUUUCAGAGUCUGAAAAUAUUUCAACUCCCUUGGUAUGGAGUUUGUGGUAGCACUGUCCACAAGGCAUAAUUCCUCUUCCAUCGGAUUGUCCCCAUAGAAAGCUAUAUAUAAAAAUGAGGAAUUUUCAAUAAGAAAGCCUUAUUUCAAUACAUAGAAUACAAUCUUAUUAUAUCAAAGUGCUGAUACAAUAUAUAAAUGACAACAAUACUUAUGUUCUAUUACAAUCAUCACACAUGGAUAUGAUUUAUUUAAUAAAUCGACCACUAAGGAGAUAAUGGGACUAAUCGAAGUCUCCAAACAUGUCGGUUGAGGUGUACUCAACCAUCAUGUUCUCCGUGUCUGUAGGAUCCUCUAAUGUAUGGAGUGUCAUGGUGUUGCUAGAUCCGGGAGGAACAUCUUGCGAACAACCAGCUCCAUUGGUGCCAUCUGGAUGAAGGUUGAAGUUGGCUUGAAACCUUUUCCCUUGAGGUACUUUGCGUCCCUGAGAUUGCUGAUACAGAAUUGCCAGAUGCUUCGGGGUCUUGCACUUAUUGGUAGGAUGCGUGUAGCAUCCACACUUGUCACAAAGCUUAGUUUGGUCAAACUUGGGCUUUGCGGUGCCUUUCCCAUGGUCCGAGUUUCUAGGCUUUCUGUUCCGGUUGCGCUUGCAUUUACCCUUGAAGUUCGAUGGCUUGCCAUGGGACGCACCAUCAAACUUUCGUCUGUUCACGACGUUCAUAUGAACUUCAGGCAGAGGUUGGGAACCAACCGGACGCUGAGAACCAUUCUUAGCGAGUAGCUCAUCAUGCUUUUCAGCCUGAAGUAGGAUAUGAAUGAGGUCGGAAUAGACUUGGUAGUCAUGAGCGCGGUACUGUUGCUGGAGGACCCUUUCAUAUGGGAGCAUAGUAGACAUAGUUUUUUCUAUCUUUUCCGCAUCAGUAGGUUCCUUCCCGCAAAAGCGUAAUUUGGAACAUAUCUUAUGAACCUCGUGAUUGUACGCCCCGAUGGACUUGAAAUCCUGGAGUCGGAUAUGCGUCCAAUCAUGGAGUGCUUCCGGCAGGACAACUGCCUUUUGCUGUUCAUACCUCGUCUUGAGGGCCUGAAACAGAGUAAGUGGGGAUUCCUCCUCCAAAUAUUCAGAUUUGAGAUCUGGGUGGAUAUGGUGCCUUAUGAUGUAUAAGGCGGCAUAUUUCUGUUCAUCUCUCAGCGGCGUGACUCCAUCCGGAAGAGGAUCUUCCGGAGUCUGGAUUGCACACACUAAUCCACGAGAUGCAAGAGCGAUCUUGAUGUCCAUGGCCCAGGUAGGAUAGUUGUGGCCAUUGAGGUCGGGUGCAUCGAACUCUCUUCCAGCCAUUGGUUACCUACAUGGGUAAACCAGAGAUUAUUAAUUUACACCAGGUAAAUUAAAACCUUCAUGGUUACGUUGUAUUGAACGUUGCAAAAUUAAUGAUAACUUCAAGAAAUGGGCUUGAAAUCAUUAGUGUGACUUUCAAAUUGUGAAGUUUGACACAUUGUAGAUACGCCCCAAACGAAAAUUCGGGGUCCAUCUCUCAGAACUAGGGAGUAUAAUCUGAUAAAAUCAGUAGAUACUCAUGUUUCUAGUACCUUAUGUCAUAACUUAAUAAAAUGUAUCGGAGGGCACAAUAUUAAGCAAUCAUCAUAUCAAUAUGAUAGAAUGUAGGCUUAAUCGUAGUGGCGAUAAUCUGCUAUGCAUUAGAUCAACACACUUCUUUGUGGUCCCAAAACAUCAAUUUGAAAGAAAAUCACUUUGGAAUUUUGCAUAUCAACUCGUGCUCGUAUUAAGCCAAAGGCUCAAUUAAGACGAGGGGUUGAUUUUUAUUUGCAAGAAAUUUGAAAUCUCAAUUACAAAUAAUAGAGGUAAUAAAUCUCAACAUGUAGCAAACAUGGAAAUAUAUAUUACAUCACAUAUGUUCUAGAAUACAAAGUACUCUACAGAAAACAAAACAGUACUAGAAAUAGACGUACUGAAAACAGGAAUUAAACAGGAUCUAAGACAGGGAUUAGUCUACUGCUAGAUCUACUGUUGAUAGUACAGGAAGUAAUCUAAAACAGAGAGCAAAUAGUGCUGGAAAAUACUACUAAAGUGUGCUGGAGUGCUGCAAGACCACAUGUGCCAUCGAACCAAGGCCACAUGUGUCCCAAGGAUGUGCACAUGUCGUCUGCAGCGUCCACUUUAUUCAAAUCACGGGAGGAUAAGGCAGAGCCAGCUCUAAAAAAACAAGAGCGGCACCGCAUCAGGCAGAGCCCCGCGCCAGGGAGAACUCCGCGUGUGCUGCUUCACAGCGUUCACCAGGGACGGGCGAGAGAGCCUCCGCCGCGCUCGUCCUCGUCUUCGUCGGAAGGCCCGCCCGGGGGCAAGGAGCGAGGCGAGGUGCCGUCCACGAGCCCAAGGGCGGCCGGGCUCCAGGANGCUCUCCAAACCUGCGGUGGAGAGCAGCGAGGCGGCGACGACGGACGUAGUUCUGCUGCAGGCGGCGAAGGUUCGUCGGCGUUGAGCGAGGCAUCCUUCUCACCUUUUGCUUCUUGCCUGUCGAUCUCAUCGAUCUCGUCGAAAGCACUCUGGAAGAGCAGUGCUGAUAACGUGUUGUAAGUUGAAUCGAGAGAGAGAUAGCGAGAGAAACAAAUGAAUCAAAUGUCACUUUAUUCCUUGAUGAUUGAACACUUUAUAUGCGAGGGAAAGACGGUUCCUGGAGGCGACGCUCCAGGAACAAUACGUCGGUUCCGCAUCGUGGGGGGAAUUCACGUGCGGUUACAUGUAGAAAUUAAUUUAACUAAUUACAUAAUUAAUUAAAUUCUAACACAGUCUACUUAGCGUUUCAGGCUAUGUAGCAACGCCAAGGCGCAUGGCGUUUCAAUGCAUGCGCUACUGUUCGCAGCAUGCAGGCAGGCAUGCACGCAUGCGCCGCUGUUCGCAGCUACUGUUUGCUACUGGUCACUGCCCCUCUCUGCUCGUUUUUGAGUCUUGCAUGCCAGCUACACUGUGUAUGGAGUCUUGCAUGCGAGCUACACUGUGUAUGGGAGAAAAAAUAAUGCCCAGUAAAGAGGAUCGGAGGGAGUACACUGCAUCCAUGCAUGCAGGCAAUGCAGAGGCAGGCACGCACACACACAUAACUAUGGGAUGUGGCUAUGGUGUGGCGUAGAGUAGCAUGGAUGAUGAGCAGGAGUAAAAUAAACUAUUGUUGCUCCUACUGGCACGGUGACACCGGCACAGUAGCUCAUGCAUGGUUAUUUGCCUCAGAAACGCCAACUCGCAUGGCGUUUCACUGAAGGCCAAAAACGCCACACUAUACAGGCAUUUCUUAAUAGGUCUGCAACGCCACGUUAGAGUGGCGUUUCUUAAUAGGGCUGCAACGUCACGGACUAUGGCGUUUUAAGAAAAUGAUCAAAACGUGAAAUUGUUUUCAAACGAGUUCGUUACGUGAUUAUCGUAGCCCCCUCGGAUCAAAACAGUGAAAAAACCCCAGAUGUUUCAAGCUACUGGCUUCCUUUAAUCCUUUCCAACAUGAUUUUUUAGGAACUUAAAAGCAAACAAUUUAAUUGCAAAUCAAUAUAUAUAUGGAUGGUCUGAGCAUCUACAACCACGGAUCCACCCCUCAAAAGUCCGCGGACGCGUCCGCGGACAUAGACCGGGCGCGUCUUAUUUUUUGCCUUUCACAUCUGCGUCUCUCAUAUUCGAAACCUCAUAUCCAUACAAAUGCAUGCAACGUCACGUAAAACAAGAGAUAACCAUUCUCCAUUGGAUUGGAUUGAUUCGUCGAACAAAAGCAUCAUAGUUCAUCGAACUUCAUCGGCAAAUUAAUACUAGAAACUACUUAAGCAUAAUUAAAAUGUACACAACACGGGGCGCUCACGGUCGAACGUCGCGCGGCCAGCGCCUCCCCCUUUCCCUCUCCCAUUGCCGCUCUAGACGCGCUGCACGCGUCUUGGACUCCGACGUCCUCUCGCGCCCCGUCCCCGACACGGGCACGAGGACCUAGCGUGGCCGGGUACCGCUUUCGAAGCAGAAGGUGGUGGAGGUGGGCAACGUACCUAACCUGGAGCGGACCGGCCGGAGCGGGAGCGACCAAAGCUGUAUGCCUUGCGGGAAGGGCCUGCUACGUCGGCGUGCGAUGAGCCCGAAGGAUGUAGGACCACAGUCGGGGCCGCCUUGGUCCUGCAGCAACCGGCGUAACGCGAUACGGAGGGCCACCUCCUCUACAUCGACGUUUGAUCCAUCAGAGUUGCUUCUGUCGCCGAUCAUCGGGUCGGAGGGUGGGGGAUUUGAAGUGGAGUGGACAGAGAGUGAACUGCUGGAUGUCUAGAGUUUUUGGAUUGGGGUAUUUAGUGGGUCCGUGGUGGGCGGGCUAACAUGGCCACGGGGUCGACGGUGGGCCAGACCUGACAGACGGGGCAUGCCCAGGCGCGCCCGGGCUUUCCCAUAUCCGUCCUAUAUUUGAAAUGGACAUGAGGAGUACCGCUCAGUCUAGACGUUUGAGACGAGUUUGAGAGACUCGUCUGGAUCGAAUUUUUGUGACCGGACAAUGACCGGACGGCCAGCCCGAUAUUUUAAGGAGCAUUUAAAGGGUCUGGCUAUAGAUACUCUAAUACUCUCUUGGACCCUUUUAUACGUUUUAAAAACCAUAAAGUUGAUCGUUCAAUUUCUGGGAGCAGUCGUUCAUAUGAAAACACCCUCGUUAUCGGACUAAGGCGGCCACCAUAUUCUUUACCAAAGUGUUCAUGUGUUUUCCUAUUUUUUGUAUCACGUUUCCUGACUUAUCCGUCCUGGUGCGGCCGUCGUGGGUGAUGCAUGAGAGCCAAUGGUUUUAGUACCACAUAUGGUGUUCUUGUGGAUAGGUAUCUUAUGUUUAACUUGUCUUGAGAGAUGUGACGGUGUUAAUGAUGUCUACAUGCUCUUUUUUGUCCGUUCUUCCUUUUUUCUACUAUGAUAUUUAUCUUUUUCCUUAAUAAUAUGAAGGUAAAUUUAUUGAUGCCAGUUUGCCAUGUGUGGGAUGUCUACCUCACAACAAAAUAUUCAACGGCAUUAGUUUCCCCAACUCUUAGGGCAGAUGGCUCAUAUGGCUUGAAGACCUAUGAGGUUAGUCGAGGUUAUGUAGGUUUUUUUUUGGUUUUAAUUAUUAGGAUAUACCUUGUGAGGGCUUCGGUUGCCUUUGUUAUUCACUUCAAUCAAAUGUGCCAUUUUUAUGAAACAAGCUCCUUAUGUUCUUCUUAAUAACAAAUGAAUCGAGGUGGUCUUUGAAGGCAUCUUCGGGUGGAAUGGACGAUGCGGCUUGGUGUCUUGGUCCUAUGGCUCCUUCACGAGCGGCGAUGUUUGGCAUGCUUCUAGUAGCUUGUGGUGUAAUCUCACUUCAUAUCUGUCUGGUGUAAUUUGUAGUAGUCGCUCUACCUUCUUCGUCCUCUUCUUCUCUAGGAUGGCGAAUUAUUUCGCAGAUCUUGCUGGCGUUGGCGUUUGCUUCCUCCGACCAUCGACUUCCUAGUUGUUGCUUAACAAUGUCCUCCUGACAUUGAUGGGUUUUGAAGGUAAAGAGAAAGCAUCGAGCUUUUCUCACGGUGCGCCGCUCGCGAGUUCACCAGAAAGAUGACGACGAUUUGUCCAAAGACAAGUGUGUAACUAUUAAUUUCUAUAAGAAUGACCUUUAAGGGUUUGUGGACUUCAAUAUAUGGUCUUUGGCCUUCUUAUGGAAUUGUUUGUUUGAAUAUGCCGAAAAGAAAUCAUAAACUUGUGGGUCACACACAUAUUUCCCCAAGGAAUUAAGCUCCACGAAAUUCCAUUUUGCAGUUCGGAGCAAAGCCACAAUGCAAGAGAGAGAUCUAAUACCAUGUACCAAACAAUCUAAGAAUGAAAAUAUGAUGGUCGCACUUGAAAGCAAGUUAUAAUUAUCAUAACAUGAAAACUAUUAGUGCAAAAGCCCCUCAAAGGUUAUAAAAGUCCAUAAACCGCCUAAUCGACACCACCAUGUAAAACUUUCUUGUGCUUUCACUCCCACCCUCCUUUAUUAGCAACAAAGAGUGUUAAACAAUUGAGAGCAUCUCAAACAGCAGCUGCAAAAACCGCACACGCGGGGAAAAUAGUCUUUUAGCACGUGUGGGGCGGUUGCGUGCGCUCCAGCAGCCGCGGAAUAAUCGGCCGCGCGGGAAAAGGUAGCCCGCCGCGCGAUAGAUUUGGCGUGCAGCGCUCGGCGCGCCCUAUAAAUGCAGUACUCGACCACGCGUCCUUCCACCGCUCUCACUCGCCUCUCUCCCGCCACGCGUCCUCUGUCGAUGUCUCUCUCGCCUCGUCGCCCUCGCGCCGUCGCGGAACUUCGGGAUACCGUGACGUCCGUUCUGCGCUUCGCCAAGAUCCGCUCCGGCGACAUGCGCCUUGGCCUCGACACGUUCGACGCCGCCGACGAUGACGUCCGUGCGUAUGACGCGGCAGCGUUGCGCCUCAACAUGCCUCUUAGGGAGAUGAAUUUCCCCGAGGUGAUGACGCUGGAGUGGGCGCAGAACCCCACGCCUCGUCCAUAGGUUGUCACCGAAGAGGACCAUCGUCGGAACCGGAGGCGGGAGCGCCGCCUCAGCAUUGUUGAGAUGGACGAGCAUGCCAUGACAGAGUGGCGCCGACAGUUCCUGCAGGACGACCUCGAUGAGCGCUAAUUCUUCACGCAAAGGAGGAUGGAGCAAGCCGCCUAUCGUGAAGAUAGGCGUACGCGGAAGCAAGCUGCACUGUUCUAGAUGGAGCUGAAGGAAUCGUCGAUUUGGCCCUCCGACGAUGAACGCUGGGCUGACACCUUCAUCAUGACGGAGGAAUAGGAUACCGGCCCGUCGGAAUCCGAUAACGACGACGAAUAGUCUUCUAUCUAUCUAGACUAUCUAUGGUUUGUAUGUACCUUUUUUUAUCGUUUUCUAUCUAUCUAGGCUAUCUAUGUUAUGUAUCAUUUAUUAAAAAUUAUGCUAUGUAUCGUUAUGUAUCGUUUAAAAAUAUACUAUGAUCAAAAAUGCAUAUUGCAAGCGCUGAAGUUUUUACGCGUUUGCUGGAGUGUCCCGCGCGCGUCAAAUUUUGCGACUUACGCUCGAGCCAGCGUUUGCUGGCGCGCUAAAAUUUGUUGUCUACAUGAUGUAAACUCACUUUUUAUGCGCCGUGCGUUGCGCACGUGUUGGAGAUGCUGUGACACAGAUAGAAACUAUGCAAUUAAGAAAUUACAACCUUCCAAAUUAGAGCUGAGCAAUCCAUGGUUAUACCACGAAGUUACAAUAGUUAUCUCUAUAAACCAACCCACUAAAAAAUAAACAAAAGGGAAAAAGCAAUACGCCAGACCAUCCUACAAAAAUGAGACGGUCUCUUGAUAAUUAGUUAUCCAUAGUAUUAAAUAGAUCUUUUUUUUCUUUAGGAACUCUACAAAGGGCUAUAAAAAUUACAUUGCCAUGUUCAUUUUAGUUAUAUUAUUUUCAAUAAUUUUAAUAAAAAAGAAGAAAAUCCUUUUUUUUCUUGCUAAAAAUUGGCAUUGGCCGAGAGUGAAUCAAAUGAAUUUUCUCUUUAGUUGGCAUUUCUAUAUAGAACUUAAUAUAAUAAAACAAUCAAGUUACACAUAGAACACUUUUUUGUCGAUUAUAUUCAUCAAGAAAGCAAAACUGACCAACUUGUGUUGUAACAGAUCAGCUAAAACAAUAACUAACUCAGACUAGGCCCAUAUAUAUAUUGUUUAUUAUACUGUAUAUGUCGAUAUCAUCUGAAUGCGGAUUAAAGUUACUUCGAGAAAAUAAACGAAUAAUGGGUACGGGCAUACGGUACCUGUUGUGGCAGAAAUAAAAUCGUUGCAUGUGACUGAAGUAAUCGUCGGCUAUUGGAGGUGUGGGAAAAUUGCAGCGAAUCUGAUCUGCUGAAUAAUUAAAGCAUCAUUUUAUAGCAAAGUUGAUUUAGUAGUGAUCACGAUGUCCAACGACUUCAAGCUAACAGCGAUAUGCUCCACACAUAUAUAGUUUCUUUUGGGGAAGAAUAUACACACUAGUGAGGACGGGGCCUUUAGCCCCGGCCCGUAAGGGGCUUUAGUUCUGGUUCACCAAUCGGGACUAAAGGGCGGGACUAAAGGGCCAACCUUUAGUCCCGGCCCUGUAAGGUGCUUCACGUGGGCGCCUCGUAGCGCUUCAUGGGCAGACCCUUUAGUCCCGGUCCGUGUACGGACCGGGACUAAAGAAUUUCAGAUUUUUUUUUUUGAAUGAAAUUAGUUUUGGGUUUUAGGGUUUUAGGGUUUAGGUGUUCGGAAGAUUAACGUGAUGCCUCGUUUGGUGUUCGGUAAUUAGUUUUCAUACAAUUUAAAUAGAAAUAAUUAUGCAUAUAUAUAUAUAAGAUUUACUUAUCUUACAAGCGAGCAUAUAUAUACAAUUAUAUGGAGAUCUGAAUUAUCGGGACUAGAGCCCGUCUAUUCGAUUACAUGGACGAACAUCAGUAAUGGCCCCUAGCUACACUAAAUCGUCUAUAGCUCCGUCCUCAGAAAGGUCGCAAGCUCCUCUGCAACAGCAAUCGCGCGUUGCUCUGGUAGGACCUUCGUCCUCAUGGCCGUGUACUAUAUAAGAAGAGGAGAUGAAUAUGAAUAUCAAUCAUGACAACAAAGAAUGACGGGUAAAAAUAGAGGUGUGAAUGUUCAUUGCUUACGUCGAAUCUGUGAUCCUUGUGCUCAGAGGUAAACGUACGAAUGGUCUCGCAAACAUAGUAUCCGCAUAGAUGCGUUCCCCGUAGCUGCUGGUCGCACUUUCCGAGAAUAGAAUAUAUAUAAUCAAAAUAAUAAUCUAGCAUCAUAAAUGUAUUGAAAAUAGAAGUAUAUCAUACUACUACUUACCUGGGCCACUCUAAAGGUCAGCUUCUCAGGCUCGAUACCGGGAGUCACGCACUUGAACCGCUUCCAAACCCUGCCCGACAAGGAUAAUGAUUUGCUAAGUUUUUCAUUAAUUGAUAUAUCAGAAAAUCAUCGAAAGAGACCGAUAGAGCGCAAGAAUGAUUGAAAUUACCCUUGGAGCAUGUCCUGCAGGCUUUGGAACUGUUCCAAGGGUCUCGAUAAUGGGUCGAAGGCAUCGACUCUUCCCUUAUCAACUUGAGCAUAGUAUUCAAAGUAGGAGUACUUUUCCAAUUUGAGCAUUCAAUAAGCAAAACCAAAUCCUAAAAUAAAGUAGUAUUCAAAUUAGCAUGCAUUCAAUUAUAAGCAAAUACAUCAUCUCUUUUGUCCGUACAUCGUCGAAUAUUAUCACUAAUACUCCUCGAAUACUAUCAUACAUAUAGCAUCACUGAUACAUCUAGAAAGUAGCGCCCGACGGGUAUCGGCGCGGGCGGUGGACACCCAAAGAGAAGGAACCAUCACAGGAUCAUAGCUCCAGUGAGAUCCCCGAAGAACCUGCCAGGUAUGCUCGAACCUGCCCUCCAACGCAACCAUGUAGCGACGGACGUGCUCAUCCUCCUCGCUGACACGGUGACGUACCACCUCCGCGGUGUCCGGAAGCCUCGGCACCCUCACUGGCCCACGCGACCGCCACCAAACAAGGAUCGGGUCAACGACGGGCUGGCUCCUCACCAACCUACGCCCCCGGAAGGUAGCACCUCCCAAUACCAGCCGGGCGGAGCCCAGUCCCGGACAGGGCCCCUCUGAUCAAGCAGGUGUCCUCCGCCGAGUCGACGACGAGGAUGCGGGAUAGGCAUUGUAAAAUAAACUAAAAAAUAAACUAGUUCUAUUAAUUUUCUUGCUAAAAAUAAACUAUUAACACUUAAGCAUGUAUAAUAGCAAAAUUAAACUAUUAACACUUAAUCAUAUACAAUAGCAAAAUUAAGCAAUAAUCUAAGAAACACUAUUAACAUUUAGGCAUAUACACUAUACAAUAGCAAAAUUAAAUGAAAAAAAAAUAUUUCUUCUUCUUGUAACCCUAAACUAAUUUUUUCUCUUCUUCUAUUUCUCCUCUUCUUCUACUUCUCCUCUUCUUCUACUACUUCUCCUCUUCUCUUCUUCUACUUCUCCUCUCCUCCUCUUCUAAUUUUUUCUCUUCUUCUACUUCUCCUCUUCUUCUAUUUUUCCGCUUCUUCUCCUCUCCUCCUCUUCUUAUUCUCCUUUUUCUUCUUUUCUUCUCCUCAUCUUCUUAUUUUCCUUUUUCCUAAUUCUAAAUAUUACUAACCCUAAUAAUCUAGCACAAACCUAAUAACAAUAGGAAUUAAAUGACAAAAAAAAUCUGUUUCNNNNNNNNNNNNNNNNNNNNNNNNNNNNNNNNNNNNNNNNNNNNNNNNNNNNNNNNNNNNNNNNNNNNNNNNNNNNNNNNNNNNNNNNNNNNNNNNNNNNNNNNNNNCAUAUUUGAGAAUUUGACAAAACUAUGAUAAUGAAAAGUGUUUGACAUUGAAUAAAUAAUGCAAAACUAUUUUCUAUUUUCAAAAGUAAUUAUUUUGACUAUCCAAACUAUUAUCUAUUUUUCUAUUUUCAAUUAAAAAAUAUGUUUAUUAAAAUUCUUUUUGCAUAUUUGAGAAUCUGACAAAACUAUGAUAAUGAAAAGUGUUUGAAAUUGAAUAAAUAAUGCAAAACUAUUUUCUAUUUUCAAAAGUAAUUAUUUUGACUAUCCAAACUAUUAUCUAUUUUGUUAUUUUCAAUUAAAAACUAUGUUUAUUAAAAAUUCUUUUUACAUAUUUGAGAAUUUGACAAAACUAUGAUAAUGAAAAGUGUUUGAAAUUGAAUAAAUAAUGCAAAACUAUUUUCUAUUUUCAAAAGUAAUUAUUUUGACUAUCCAAAAUAUUAACUAUUUUGUUAUUUUCAAUUAAAAACUAUGUUUAUUAAAAUUCUUUUUGCAUAUUUGAAAAUUUGACAAAACUAUGAUAAUGAAAAGUGUUUGAAAUUGAAUAAAUAAUGCAAAACUAUUUUCUAUUUUUAAAAGUAGAAGCGACCCCCACAAUAAGAGACGACAUUCUUCUUCUCUCAUAUAUGGUGGACACUAGCUCAACCAUCGAUGAUGGUCGCUACUCCUACUUCCCCUAGUGCAUAACCAAUAUCUAGCACAAGGAGAAGAAGGAGAAACGACCCCCACAGCAACAGUCGACAUUCUUCUUCUCUCAUGUAUGGUGGACACUCCCUCACCUGAUUUUUCGACCGUCGAUGAUGGUCGCUACUCCUUCUUCCCCUAGUGCAUAACAAAUAUCUAGCACAAAGAGAAGAAGGAGAAGCAACCCCCACAACAACAGUCGGCAUUCUUCUUCUCUCAUGUAUGGUGGACACUCCCUCACCUGAAUUUUUGACCGUCGAUGAUGGUCGCUAUUCCUUAUUUCCCUAAUGCAUAACAAAUAUCUAGCACAAGGAGAAGAAGGAAAAGCGACCCCACAACAAAAGUGGUUCCGCGGCACGCCACGUGGUUCCGCUGCACGCCACGUGGGACUAAUGGUCUUUCUUUCCAGCACNNNNNNNNNNNNNNNNNNNNNNNNNNNNNNNNNNNNNNNNNNNNNNNNNNNNNNNNNNNNNNNNNNNNNNNNNNNNNNNNNNNNNNNNNNNNNNNNNNNNUUUGAAAAUAGAAAAUAGUUUUGCAUUAUUUAUUCAAUUUCAAACACUUUUCAUUAUCAUAGUUUUGUCAGAUUCUCAAAUAUGCAAAAAGAAUUUUAAUAAACAUAUUUUUUAAUUGAAAAUAGAAAAAUAGAUAAUAGUUUGGAUAGUCAAAAUAAUUACUUUUGAAAAUAGAAAAUAGUUUUGCAUUAUUUAUUCAAUGUCAAACACUUUUCAUUAUCAUAGUUUUGUCAAAUUCUCAAAUAUGCAAAAAGAAUUUUUAAUAAACAUAGUUUUUAAUUGAAAAUAACAAAAUAGAUAAUAGUUUGGAUAGUCAAAAUUAUUAAUUAUGAAAAUAGAAAAAAAUUGAAACUAUAUGAGAAUUUAUAGAGAAAAUUCAAUCUAAAUUCAAACUGAACUCACUUUGAAUUCAGGUUGAAUUUUCUCCAUAAUUUCGAAUAUAGUUUCAAUUUUCAGUGAGUUUAGGUCCGUAAGCCUGCUUUAGAGAGGAGCUCGAUGGAGAAGCUGCGACGGGGCUUAUAAACAAGUGUUAGUCCCCCUCGCUGGGCGAGGUGGGACUAAACUUAUCGUGCAACCCAGGAGGGGCUUUAGUCCCGGGUGGAGCCACGCCCCGGGACUAAAGCCCCUCGCCUGCCGCCUGCCGAGGAGGGGCUUUAGUCCCGAUGCGUGGCUCCACCCGGGACUAAAGGCCCCUGCUUCCCGCCUUCUGGUCUGCCCGAAAAGAGGCCUUUAGUCCCGGGUCGUGGCUCCACCCGGGACUAAAGGGGGUCUUUAGUCCCGGUUGGAGCCACGCACCGGGGCUAAAGAUCCACCUAUAUAAGCGGGACUUUGAAAAAUUCCCACCCAAAUCGUCCAUUUCUCUUCUUCUUCCUCUCGUUCUCUGCCCGGCGCGGCACAGCGACGAACUCGACGACGCCGUCACGCUGCCCACCGUNNNNNNNNNNNNNNNNNNNNNNNNNNNNNNNNNNNNNNNNNNNNNNNNNNNNNNNNNNNNNNNNNNNNNNNNNNNNNNNNNNNNNNNNNNNNNNNNNNNNGAAUUCAAAUUCUAUUCAUACUUCAAUUCGCUAUAACUUGCGUUGUAGUGCUGCAUUUCAAGAAAUUCUUUCUACAAAUAAAUUCUUAUGCCUUAUAUUAUUUGUCAAACAACAUUCAUGUUGUUCUCCCAAUAUUUUUUAUCAUAUCCCAUAGUGUAUGCAAGUCGAGCUUAUAUAGCGAUAGUUGAUCAUCCUUUGACUCUUUUGAGUUGACCCCUUUCACCUUUCCUUUACAACACACCUAGGACCUAUUUUUUUAUUAAACCUUAGUAUGUUGUUAUUUUGCACAAAGACAUGUUUUGUUCUUAUGUUCUUUUGGUUCUUCCUUUUUGGCAUGAAUGUUUAUUGAAUGCUAUUCGUUUACGAUAGAUUGCUUGGAGUGUGGCGAGUAGAAUUAUCAAGAUUUUGAGAGCGACUAUCUUCAUCAAGUAAUACCAGGCAAGUCAUUUGAUCAUGUAUCACCUAUGUUUUAUGCAUCGUAGUUCUACCAUCCUAUGCCCAAUUUGCAUGCUGACUAGGUACUUGGAAAUUAUGGUUACAUAUUGUAGUAUCAUGUGGUAGGCACCCAACAACCCCAUUACUUGGCCCGGGACGACAAAUUUCAUAUUGCUAUGCUUGAGUAGACGGGAUUCUGGUUGAGAGUUUAUCACGAGUGAUGCGAUAAUAAUUUAAUAACCAAGACCGGUUAAGUCAAGACUUUUCAAGAUCUCGUGAUGCAAUGCAACUCUGGGUGAAGGACGGUUGAUCGGCUCCCUGGAGAAACCAGUGGAUGACCCGGGAUGCUGGAGACGUGCCAUGACAUCUUGCGGAAAGCUUCACCCAGGCUCAAAGAGACGGACGGAUAUUUUCAAGACCCAAGGCUUACCUGCACAACCACAAGUCAUUAUGGGCUCUGUCUUGGUUGGACAACGCGGCGACUCUGGACAGGCGGUGCCAGCAGAUGUAGAAGAACGGUAGGAUUGGAUGGGCACCGACAGGGAUUCAGAGGGACCCGUUGAAAGACCAUGUUUUGAUCAUCCGGUCUUCAAACACCCUGAAGUGCGAGGACAUACAUGGAGGCGAUCAAAUCUUGUGGGGAACGUUUGCAAAACUCUCCAGAGUACUCAAACCUAAUCGAUUAGCCGUGUCCACGGUCAUGGACAACUUGAGCCAAAGGAACUGAAGUUAUCUGAAAUUCUCAACACCAUUAUAUAUAUUUGAUGUGGGUAAUAUUGUUAACUUGGGUAUGAGAAAUGGUUGGCGGAACCAUCUUAUUAAAAACAGCAGCGUAGUAAUAUUUUGCUUUUUAGCCCCUCUCUUGUUGUAGGAGAAAACUUUGCUUUCCGCUAAAAACUUACAACCCCACCUGCCAUAUAUGCAUAUAGUAUAGAUGAUAUUUUACCCCCCUCUCAUAUGUGACUUGCCGGCAUAUUCAANNNNNNNNNNNNNNNNNNNNNNNNNNNNNNNNNNNNNNNNNNNNNNNNNNNNNNNNNNNNNNNNNNNNNNNNNNNNNNNNNNNNNNNNNNNNNNNNNNNNGUGCCUUCAAGGCAGGCGUGCGGUACAGAGAUCUGUACCUGAAGUUCGGUCGAACAGGCGACAUCUCCAUGAGCAAGAUGAUGGAGAUAGCCGCACGCUAUGCAAAUGGCGAAGAAGAGGACGCAUAUGUAGCGGCAAGCAUAAGGCAGUCGCCGAUGGAGACGGGAACAACAAUCGGAAGCAGAAGCAGAAAGCUCCGUCCACUCCGCAGGCAGAGGCAGCAGCCGUUACCAAUGCCAAGUUCAAGGGUAAGGGGAAAGCUUAGUACACCCCUAAGAAGAGACAGUUCGGGAAUUCCAUCCUGGAUCAGCCAUGUCCAAUCCACACGAAGAUGGACGAAGAAGGCAACGCCAUAUUCCCGAAGCACACCACUCGGCAAUGUCACCUCCUGAUCCAAGGGUUCGGCGAAGGGCAGCCGAGUGAAAAGGACAACGAGCAGGAUGAUGAGGACAAGGAGGAUCCAUUCCCCCAAGUCCAUGCAACAUUGAUGAUUUUUGCUGACGUGGAAAGCAAGAGUCGAUUGAAGCUGGUGAACACGGAGGUGAACAUGGCAACCCCAACCAACCCCACGUUCCUCAAAUGGUCUCAGACUGCGAUCACCUUCGAUCAGUCGGAUCAUCCAGCACACGUGCCCACCCCAGGGAUGCAAGCUCUGGUCGUCAACCCGGUGGUGGAAGGAGUCCGACUGCACAAAGUCCUCAUGGACGGCGGCAGCGGCUUGAACAUCAUGUACGCCGACACUCUCGAGGGGAUGGGCAUUCCGAUUUCCAAACUUAGCGAGAGCAGCAUGCAGUUCCACGGAGUCAUCCUAGGACGAAAGGCCAAGUCACUCGGCCAGAUCGCGUUGGACGUCGUUUUCGGCUCCGACAAGAACUUCCACAAGGAAAAGCUGACAUUCGAGGUGGUGGACUUCCAGAGUGCAUACCAUGCGAUUCUGGGCCGUCCGGCGUAUGCGCGUUUCAUGGCCCGUCCAUGUUACGUGUAUUUGAAGCUGAAGAUGCCAGGUCCCAAAGGUGUGAUCACGAUCACAGGCAAUCGGUAGCGGGCCGAGGAGUGUCUGCAGCAGGGGCCAAGGAUUGCCGAUCAGCAAAUGGCUAUCCUCGAGCUGGAUGAGUACAAGAAGACAGCCGACCCCGCUGACUUGAUGCGUUCGAAGAAGCCAGCUUCGGAGUCCGCAUUCCAGUCGGCAGGAGACACGAAGAAAGUCAGCAUCCACCCGACGGACGACGCCGCUGCCCCGACAAACAUCUCCACCACCCUUGAUCCAAAAUAGGAAGCCGAGCUCAUCCAAUUCCUCCGUGAGAACUGGGACAUUUUUGCAUGGAAGCCCGCUGACAUGCCAGGUGUACCCAGGGAGUUGGCUGAGCACCGACUGCAUGUGGAUCCUGCUGCUCGGCCCGUCCGAGAACGCCUGCGUCAGUCCGCCGCGCACAAAAGGUAGGCAAUCGGAGAGGAGGUGGCUAAACUUUUGGCAGACAACUUCAUUCGCGAGGUACACCACUCCGAGUGGCUCGCCAAUGUUGUCAUGGUGCCCAAGAAGGACAAGUCCCUCCGUAUGUUCAUCGACUUCAAGCAUCUCAGUAAGGUCUACCCGAAAGAUCAUUUCCCGCUCCCCCGCAUUGAUCAAAUUGUCGAUUCGACUGCGGGUUGCGAUCAUUUAUCAUUCCUUGAUUCCUAUUCGGGCUAUCAUCAGAUCCGUCUAUAUGGUCCGGAUGAAUUAAAAACAGCCUUCCUCACCCCAUUCGGGUGCUUCUGCUACAUCACUAUGCCAUUCGGUUUGAAGAAUGCAGGAGCAACUUUUAUGUGCAUGACCCAAAAAUGCCUCCUUGACCAGAUCGGUCGAAAUGUGGAGGCAUAUAUGGACGAUAUCGUAGUCAAGUCACGCAAAGGUUCUGACCUGCUGACUGACUUGGCAGAAACAUUCGCCAACCUGCGUAGGUACGAUAUCAAGCUCAACCCAGCCAAGUGUUCAUUCGGCAUUCCUAGCGGGAAGUUACUCGGUUUCUUCGUUUCCGAACGAGGGAUCGAUGUCAACCCCGAAAAGAUCGGGACCAUCGUCCGAAUGGAACGGCCGGUCAGAAUACAUGAUGUUCAAAGGCUCACAAGUUGCCUAGCGGCUUUGAGCAGGUUUAUCACUCGACUCGGCGAGAAGGCGCUACCUCUGUACCGACUCAUGAAGAAAUCAGAUACUUUCGAGUGGACAGACGAAGCCCAAAUUGCAUUCGACAACCUCAAAGCCCUGCUUUCCACCCAGCCGGUUCUUACUGCCCCGCUCAGCAAAGAACCCCUUCUUCUGUACAUCGCGGUUACAAAUCAAGUCGUCAGCAUUGUUCUCACAGUCGAACGCGAAGAAGAAGGCAAAGCGUACAAGGUUCAGCGGCCAGUAUAUUAUGUCUCCGAAGUCCUCACUCCUUCCAAGCAGGGGUAUCCCCAUUAUCAAAAGCUUAUUUAUGGGAUAUACAUGACUGCAAAGAAGGUGGCUCAUUAUUUCCAAGACCACUCGGUGUGUGUCAUUUCUGAUGCUCCGUUGUUGGAAAUCCUCCACAAUCGGGACGCAUCAGGCCGAGUGGCGAAGUGGGCAAUGGAGAUGUUAUACUGCGACAUCAAGUUCGAAGCCAAGAAGGCUAUAAAGUCUCAAGCUCUGGCUGACUUCAUAGCAGAAUGGGUAGAACAACAACAACCAACUCACAUCUACUCGGCUCAUUGGACCAUGUUCUUCGAUGGGUCCAAGAUGUUGAAUGGCUCCGGCGCUGGCGUAGUGAUCAUAUCGCCAAAGGGUGAUAAACUCAAGUAUGUGUUGCAGAUACAUUUCGAUUCUUCCAACAAUGAGGCAGAGUACGAAGCUCUCCUUUAUGGAUUGCGCAUGGCCAUCACACUCGGCGUCCGUCGCCUGAUGGUCUAUGGCGAUUCAGAUCUGGUGGUUAAUCAAGUGAUGAAAGAAUGGGAUGUAAGGAACCCCACCAUGACCGCAUACUGCAACGCAGUAAGGAAGCUCGAGAAGAAGUUUGAAGGUCUGGAACUUCACCAUGUUCCCCGACUGAAAAACCAAGCAGCUGAUGAGUUGGCAAAACUCGGAUCCACUCGAAGACCAGUCCCGAGUGAUGUCUGCCUCGAGCACCUACAUCUCCCUUCGGUGAAAGAAGAUCCUUUCACAGAAGAACCGGUACAACCGAAGAGCUCAACAGAUCCGACUGAAGUCGAGGUCCCUGCUAUGGUUGAUUUGAUCAUGGAGAUUCUUGCUCUCAUCCCCGAUUGGACUGUGCCGUUCAUUGCGUACAUCCUGAGGCAAGAAUUACGAGAAGACGAAGUCCAAGCUAGGCAGAUCGUCCGCAGGUCAAAGUCCUUCACCGUCAUUGAUGGCCAGUUGUACAAGGAAAGUGUUUCACGCGUCCUUUAGCGGUGCAUCUCCCAUGAAGAGGGACAGUUAAUCCUGGAAGAAAUUCACUCGGGAACGUGCGGCCAUCAUGCUUCCUCAAGAGCAAUCGUCGCCAAAGCAUUUAGAGCUGGUUUCUUCUGGUUGCACGCGAAUGAAAUGGCAAAAGAUAUGGUCGACCGAUGCGAAGGCUGUCAGUUCUAUUCGAACAAGUCCCAAAAGCCAACAUCUGCGCUGAAGACAAUCCCUCUUGUUUGGCCGUUCGCAGUGUGGGGAUUAGAUACAGUCGGACCAUUCAGAACAGGCCAAGGGGGAUUCACUCAUCUGUUGGUAGUAGUCGACAAGUUCACCAAGUGGAUUGAAGCCAAGCCCAUCAAGAAGCUCGACGCCCUUACGGCCAUCAAAUUUUUCAGAGACAUCAUCGCCAGAUUCGGGGUUCCGCAGAGCAUAAUCAUCGACAAUGGCAUAAACUCUGACUCGGACAGAUUCAAAGGUUUUCACACAGGUCAAGGUAUCCGAGUGGAUUUUGCAUCUGUGGCGCAUCCCCAAACAAACGGGCAAGCAGAGCGGGCGAAUGGGCUUAUUCUUCAAGGGUUGAAGCCUCGACUCCUGCGAGAAGUUGGACAUGCCGCCGGCGCAUGGGUCACCGAACUGCCUUCGGUGUUGUGGGGCCUCCGCACAACUCCGAAUAGAUCUACAGGGCGAUCCCCGUUCUUCCUCGUUUAUGGAGCAGAGGCGGUCCUUCCGAGUGACUUGCUUCACAACUCUCCACGAGUCGAACUCUUCUCCGAAGCCGAAGCAGAGCAAGCUAGGCAAGACGGAGUGGAUCUUCUCGAAUAAGAGCGCGAGAUGGCACUGACCCGCUCAACAAUUUAUCAACAAGAUCUGCGGCGAUUUCACGCGCGACACGUCAGGAGUCACACAUUCCAAGCAGGCGACCUGGUGCUCCGAGUGGAUCAGCAGAGACCACACAAGUUGGCUCCCGCCUGGGAAGGACCCUUCAUCAUCUCUAAGGUGUUGAACAAUGGGGCGUAUCGACUUUACAACCUCGACAGGGAAACGGACGAGCCGCGGGCGUGGAACAGAGAUCUCCUGAAGCGCUUCUACACAUGACCGCCGACGAGGACAAUGUAAAGAACAAGUAUCAUUGAAGUAAUACAAAGCAGAUUGAUUUCUUGCAGGUUCAAAAUUCUUCCACGUUUGCAGACUCCGGUCUAAAUUUUUUUUUCUNNNNNNNNNNNNNNNNNNNNNNNNNNNNNNNNNNNNNNNNNNNNNNNNNNNNNNNNNNNNNNNNNNNNNNNNNNNNNNNNNNNNNNNNNNNNNNNNNNNNGAGAAAUUCUUCUUCGUCAACAUCGCCAGGCAAGUCAUUUGAUCAUGUAUCACCUAUGUUUUAUGCAUCGUAGUUCUACCAUCCUAUGCCCAUUUGCAUGCUGAGUAGGUACUUGGAAAUUAUGGUUACAUAUUGUAGUAUCAUGUGGUAGGCACCCAACAACCCCGUUACUUGGCCCGGGACGACCAAUUUCGUAUUGCUAUGCUUGAGUAGACGGGAUUCUGGUUGAGAGUUUAUCACGAGUGAUGCGAGAGUAAUUUAAUAACCAAGACUGGUUAAGUCAAGACUGUUCAAGACCUCGUGAUGCAAUGCAACUCUGGGUGCAGGACGGUUGAUCGGCUCCCUAGAGAAACCAGUGGAUGACCCGGGAUGCUGGAGAUGGCCAUGACAUCUUGCGGAAAGCUUCACCCAGGAUCAAAGAGACGGACGGAUAUUUUCAAGACCCAAGGCUUACCUGCACAGCCACAAGUCAUUAUGGGCUCUGGCUUGGUUGGACAAUGCGGCGACUCUCGACAGGCGGUGCUAGCAGAUGUAGAAGAACGGUAGGAUUGCAUGGGCACCAAUAGGGAUUCAGAGAGACCCGUUGAAAGACCAUGUUUUGAUCAUCCGGUCUUCAAACACCCUGAAGUGCGAGGACAUACUCGGAGGUGAUCAAAUCUUGUGGGGAACGUGUGCAAAACUCUGCAGAGUACUCAAACCUAAUCGAUUAGCCGUGUCCACGGUCAUGGACAACUUGAGCCAAAGGAACUGAGGUUAUCUGAAAUUCUCAACACAAAUAAUAAUAUUGAUGUGGGUAUUAUUGACAACAUGGCUACGAGAAUUGGUUGGUGGAACCAUCUCGUUAACAACCAACAAUGUAGUAACAUUUUGCUUUUAGCCCUCUCUUGAUGUAGGAGAAAACUUGCUUUUUCGCUAAAAACUUAUAGCCCCACCUGCCAUAUAUGCAUAUAGUAUAGAUGAUUAUUUUUCACCCCUCUCUUAUGUGACUUGCCGGCAUAUUCAAUAUGCUGACCUACACGGCUGCAACGUCUUAUGUUGCAGAUAUUUUUCUUCGACGAGUAAGAGUACGAUUCAGGGUUACGGUCUACACUCAACUUGCCGUUGGUGUUUAUUGGGACUCCACUCCCUUGACUGCUUCCGCUGAGAUAUUUAAGGUAUAUAUCAGUUUUNNNNNNNNNNNNNNNNNNNNNNNNNNNNNNNNNNNNNNNNNNNNNNNNNNNNNNNNNNNNNNNNNNNNNNNNNNNNNNNNNNNNNNNNNNNNNNNNNNNNCGGCCAUGGAAGUUGCAGGUUCGCUGGAGAAAGGAAGGUCACGGGAGAAUAGAGAAGGAAGGAAGAAGAAGAGGGAAGGAAAGAGAGAGAAGAAAAAAAGAAAGAAAAGAAAAGGGGAAAGAAAAAGAAAAAAAAUAAGGAAAGAAGAGGUGCGCUCGAGGUGCUGGUCGGUUGGGCAGGGGAUUUGGAUUCGCAGCGAUGGGGAUCUCGCCCGAGGAAAAAUAUCUCCCGUUUUUUUCUUUUUUUUAACAGAAACUAAAACGAAAAAAAGGAAACAAAUAAAAUAAUUAAUAUAGGGUAUUAUAUACCAACAUGAUCAGAAAAAUAUCCUCUACUCGAUUAACAUUUUUCCAAGGCAAAAAUAAAAACUUCAAAAAAUGUUUUUCAGAAAAAUAUCCCUUAUGCUAUAUUUUCUUUUUGCAAUUAUUUUCACGAUAAAACUUUGGCUUUCAUGGCUCAAAAUAUUUCAAAAAUGCCUCACAUUUUGGAGGGUCAUUUUCCUCCGCUCUCUCUUGCGUGCAAGAGAUUAUUUCCCGGCAUUUUCUCGGGGAAGAAAAAAUAUAGAAGCAAGGGCAAAAUUUUGAAAGGAUUUCAAAUGCAAACUCCGUUCAAAUUUUCUAUAGUUGAAGAAGUCAUGUCAUCUUCUCUCUUUGCUUUUAAAAGAUUGAAUUUGAAUUCAUCGGAGAUGGGGAAUGUCAUUUUAUUCCCUCUCAUUCAAAAGUUUUUGAAAAGUUUCAGAUUUCACUCANNNNNNNNNNNNNNNNNNNNNNNNNNNNNNNNNNNNNNNNNNNNNNNNNNNNNNNNNNNNNNNNNNNNNNNNNNNNNNNNNNNNNNNNNNNNNNNNNNNNUUGCCUCGAUCCAUUUUAUCCUUUCGACCAGCGAUCUGAGUGAAUAUACUAGUGAAACGAACCGUCAGGGACAGAGUGCUUCUACGGAAUCUUUUGAUGUGACCGGUCAAACUGACAACGGUGGAUUUUCCGGGGUCCUCAAAUUUAGGUUGCCGCACGCUCAGCAGGGAUGACGACAUCGCCAUCGAGUAGUUUCUGCCGCCUCAAUUACCGCGCCGUUAUCUUCUCCACUAACAUCGUAGCAGCCGGUCGGGGGGGGGNNNNNNNNNNNNNNNNNNNNNNNNNNNNNNNNNNNNNNNNNNNNNNNNNNNNNNNNNNNNNNNNNNNNNNNNNNNNNNNNNNNNNNNNNNNNNNNNNNNNNNNNNNNNNNNNNNNNNNNNNNNNNNNNNNNNNNNNNNNNNNNNNNNNNNNNNNNNNNNNNNNNNNNNNNNNNNNNNNNNNNNNNNNNNNNNNNNNNNNNNNNNNNNNNNNNNNNNNNNNNNNNNNNNNNNNNNNNNNNNNNNNNNNNNNNNNNNNNNNNNNNNNNNNNNNNNNNNNNNNNNNNNNNNNNNNNNNNNNNNNNNNNNNNNNNNNNNNNGGGGGGGGGGGGGGGGUAAGAUUUCGGGGUCACCUGUUAGCGACUCAGUAGGAAGCUUAUUUAAGCCCUUCCGGCGGGGAUCUCUUGUUGCGCUGCUCUUCUUCCUCGCGUUAACAUCGCUCCUAUCGUAGCUCCUUGCGCGCCUCAAGCCUCCUCCUUCCUCUCCUCCUCUGCGGAUCUGUUGCCUUCACCAUGACGAAGGGGCAGACCAGCAAACUCGAAGCGCAGAAGAAGAAGAAGAAGANNNNNNNNNNNNNNNNNNNNNNNNNNNNNNNNNNNNNNNNNNNNNNNNNNNNNNNNNNNNNNNNNNNNNNNNNNNNNNNNNNNNNNNNNNNNNNNNNNNNACGGGAUCACAUCAUUAGGAGAAUCAUGUGAUGGACUAGACCCAAACUAAUAGACGUAGCAUGUUGAUCGUGUCAUUUUGUUGCUACUGUUUUCUGUGUGUCAAGUAUUUGUUCCUAUGACCAUGAGAUCAUAUAACUCACUGACACCGGAGGAAUGCGUUGUGUGUAUCAAACGUCGCAACGUAGCUGGGUGACCAUAAAGAUGCUCUACAGGUAUCUCCGAAGGUGUUAGUUGAGUUAGUACGGAUCGAGACUGGGAUUUGUCACUCCGUGUGACGGAGAGGUAUCUCGGGGCCCACUCGGUAAUACAACAUCACACACAAGCCUUGCAAGCAAUGUGACUUAGUGUAAGUUGCAGGAUCUUGUAUUACGGAACGAGUAAAGAGACUUGCUGGUAAACGAGAUUGAAAUAGGUAUACGGAUACUGACGAUCGUAUCUCGGGCAAGUAACAUACCGAAGGACAAAGGGAAUGACAUUCGGGAUUAUAUGAAUCCUUGGCACUGAGGUUCAAACGAUAAGAUCUUCGUAGAAUAUGUAGGAUCCAAUAUGGGCAUCCAGGUCCCGCUAUUGGAUAUUGACCGAGGAGUCUCUCGGGUCAUGUCUACAUAGUUGUCGAACCCGCAGGGUCUGCACACUUAAGGUUCGACGUUGUUAUAUGCGUAUUUGAGUUAUAUGGUUGGUUACCGAAUGUUGUUCGGAGUCCCGAAUGAGAUCACGGACGUCACGAGGGUUUCCGAAAUGGUCCGGAAACGAAGAUUGAUAUAUAUGAUGACCUCAUUUGAUUACCGAAAGGUUUUCGGAGUUACCCGGAAUGUACCGGGAAUGACGAAUGGGUUCUGGGUGUUCACCCGGGGGGGGGGGAGGGGCAACCCACCCCGGGGAAGCCCAUAGGCCUUGGGGGUGGCGCACCAGCCCUUAGUGGGCUGGUGGGACAGCCCAAGAAGGCCCUAUGCGCCAUAGGAAGAAAAUCAAAGAGAAAAGAAAAAAAGGAGGAGGUGGGAAAGGGAAGAAGGACUCCACCUUCCAAACCAAGUUGGAUUCGGUUUGGAAGGGGAGACCUUCCCCCCUUGGCUCGGCCGACCCCCUUGGGGAUCCUUGAGCCUCAAGGCAAGGCUCCCCCUCUUCCCCCUAUAUAUACGGAGGUUUUAGGGCUGAUUUGAGACGUUUUUUCACGGCAGCCCGACCACAUACCUCCACGAUUUUUCCUCUAGAUCGCGUUUCUGCGGAGCUCGGGCGGAGCCCUGCUGAGAUAAGAUAACCACCAACCUCCGGAGCGACGUCACGCUGCCGGAGAACUCCUCUACCUCUCCGUCUCUCUUGCUGGAUCAAGAAGGCCGAGAUCAUCGUCGAGCUGUACGUGUGCUGAACGCGGAGGUGUCGUCCGUUCGGCACUAGAUCGUGGGACUGAUCGCGGGACGGUUCGCGGGGCGGAUCAAGGGACGUCAGGACAUUCCACUACAUCAACCGCGUUCACUAACGCUUCUGCUGUACAGUCUACAAGGGUACGUAGAUCACACAUCCCCUCUCGUGGAUGGACAUCACCAUGAUAGGUCUUCGUGCGCGUAGGAAAAUUUUUGUUUCCCAUGCGACGCUCCCCAACAGUGGCAUCAUGAGCUAGGUUCAUGCGUAGAUGUAUUCUCGAGUAGAACACAAAAGUUUUUGUGGGUGGUGAUGUGCGUUUUGCUGCCCUCCUUAGUCUUUUCUUGAUUCCGCGGUAUUGUUGGAUUGAAGCGGCUUGGACCGACAUUACUCGUACGCUUACGAGAGACUGGUUUCAUCGCUACGAGUAACCCCGUUGCUCAAAGAUGGCUGGCAAGUGUCAGUUUCUCCAACUUUAGUUGAAUCGGAUUUGACCGAGGAAGUCCUUCGAUGAGGUUAAAUAGCAACUCAUAUAUCUCCGUUGUGGUGUUUGCGUAAGUAAGAUGCGAUCCUACUAGAUACCCAUGGUCACCACGUAAAACAUGCAACAACAAAAUUAGAGGACGUCUAACUUGUUUUUGUAGGAUAUGCUUGUGAUGUGAUAUGGCCAACGAUGUGAUGUGAUAUAUUGGAUGUAUGAGAUGAUCAUGUUGUAAUAGUUAAUAUUGACUUGCACGUCGAUGGUACGGCAACCGGCAGGAGCCAUAGGGUUGUCUUUAAACUAACGUUUGUGCUUGCAGAUGCGUUUACUAUAUUGCUAGGACGUAGCUUUAGUAGUAAUAGUAUGAGUAGCACGACAACCCCGAUGGCGACACGUUGAUGGAGAUCAUGAUGAUGGAGAUCAUGGUGUGACGCUGGUGACAAGAAGUUCGUGCCGGUGCUUUGGUGAUGGAGAUCAAGAAGCACAUGAUUAUGGCCAUAUCAUGUCACUUAUGAAUUGCAUGUGAUGUUAAUCCUUUUUGCACCUUAUCUUGCUUAGAACGACGGUAGCAUUAUGAGGUGAUCUCUCACUAAAAUUUCAAGACGAAAUUGUGUUCUCCCCGACUGUGCACCGUUGCGACAGUUCUUCGUUUCGAGACACCACGUGAUGAUCGGGUGUGAUAGACUCAACGUUCACAUACAACGGGUGCAAAACAGUUGCACACGCAGAACACUCGGGUUAAGCUUGACGAGCCUAGCAUGUGCAGACAUGGCCUCGGAACACAUGAGACCGAAAGGUCGAGCAUUAAUCGUAUAGUUGAUAUGAUUAGCAUAGAGAUGCUUACCACUGAAACUAUUCUCGACUCACGUGAUGAUCGGACUUGAGAUAGUGGAUUUGGAUCAUGUACCACUCAAAUGACUAGAGAGAUGUACUUUUUGAGUGGGAGUUCUUAAGUAAUAUGAUUAAUUGAACUAAUUAUCAUGAACAUAGUCUAAUGGUCUUUGCGAAUACGAUGUAGCUUGCGCUAUAGCUCUACUGUUUUAAUAUGUUCCUAGAGAAAAUUUAGUUGAAAGUUGAUAGUAGCAAACUUUGUAGAGGAUUGUCCUCAUUGCUGCGCAGAAGGCUUAUGUCCUUAAUGCACCACUCGGUGUGCUGCACCUCGAGCGUCAUCUGUGGAUGCUGUGAACAUCCGACAUACACGUUUCUGAUGACUACACGAUAGUUUAGUGCAAAAUACUUAAUGGCUUAGAAGCAAGGCGCCGAAGACGUUUUGAGACGUCACGGAACAUAAGUGAUGUUCUAAAGAGAUUAAAUUGUGAUUUCAUGCUUGUGCCCUUGUUAAGAGGUACGAGACCUCCGCCAAGAUUCUUUGUCCACAAAGUAAAGGAGAAAAUCUCAAUCGUUGAGCGUGUGCUCAGAUUGUCUGAGUACGACAAUCGCUUGAAUCAAGUGGGAGUUAAUCUUCCAGAUGAGAUAGUGAUUGUUCUCCAAAAUCACUGCCACCAAGCUGUGAGAGCGUCGUGAUGAACUUUAACAUAUCAAGGAUAGAUACAAUGAUCCUUGAGCGAUUCGCGAUGUUUGACACUGCGAAAGUAGAAAUCAAGAAGAAGCAUCAAUAGUUGAUGGUUAGUAAAACCACUAAGUUUCAAGAAAGGCAAGGGCUAGAAGGGAUACUUCGUGAAACGGCAAAAUAGUUGUUGCACUAAUGAAGAGACCCAAGAUUAAACCCAAACCCGAGACUAAGUGCUUCUGUAAUGAGGGGAACGGUCACUGAGGCGGAGCAACUCUAGAUACUUGGUAGAUAAGAAGGCUGGCAAAAGUCGAAAGAAGUAUAUUUGAUAUACAUGAUGUUGAUGUGUACAUUACUAGUACUCCCAGUAGCACGAGGGUAUUGGAUACCGGUUCGGUUGCUAAGUGAUUAGUAACACGAAAUGAAAGCUACGGCAUAAACGGAGACUAGCUAAAGGCGAGGUGACGAUACGUGUUGGAAGUGUUUCCAAGGUUGAUAUGAUCAAACGUCGCACGCUCCCUCUACCAUCGGGAUUGGUGUUAAACCUAAAUAAUUGUUAUUUGGUGCUUGCGUUAAGCAUGAACAUGAUUGGAUCGUGUUUAUUGCAAUACGAUUAUUCAUUUAAAGAGAAUAAUGGUUACUCUAUUUGCUUGAAUAAUCACCUUCAAUGGUUUAUUGAAUCUCGAUUGUAGUGUUACACAUGUUCAUGAUAUUGGUGCCAAAAGACACGAGGUAAUGAUGAUAGUACCACUUACUUGUGGCACUGCCGCUUGAUUCAUGUUGGUAUAAAUUGCAUGAAGAGGCUCCAUGCUGAUGGAUCUUUAUACUCACUUGAUUUUGAAUCACUAGUGACAUGCAAAUCAUACCACAUGAGCAAGGCCUUGUUUUACAUUGAGAUGAAACAAGAUAGUAACUUGUUGGAAGUGAUGCAUUUUGAUGUAUGCAGUCCAAUGGGUGCUGAGGCACGUAGUGGAUAUCAUUAUGUUCUUACUUCAAUGAAGAUUUGAGCAGAUACAAGAGUAUUUGCUUAAUGAAUCACAAGUCUGAAAUAUUGAAAAGUUCAAUUCUGUUUCAGAGUGAAGUUCGUCGUAACAAAAGGAUAAACUGUCUACGAUAUGAUCAUAGAAAUGAAUAUCUGAGUUACGAGUUUUGGUACGCAGUUAAGACAAUGUGGAAAUUGUUUCGCAGUUCAUGCCACAUGGAACAUCAUAGUGUGAUGAUGUGUGUGAACGUCAUAGCCACGCACUAUUUGGUAUGGUGCAUACUAUGAUGUCUCUUAUCAAAAUGGUCCAGAAACAAAGAUUGAUAUAUAGGAUGACCUCAUUUGAUUACCGGAAGGUUUUCGGAGUUACCGGGAAUGACGAAUGGGUUCCGGGUGUUCACCGGGGGGGGCAACCCACCCCGGGGAAGCCCAUAGGCCUUGGGGUGGUGCACCAGCCCUUAGUGGGCUGGUGGGACAGCCCAAGAAGGCCCUAUGCGCCAUAGGAAGAAAAUCAAAGAGAAAAAAAAGGAGGAGGUGGGAAAGGGAAGAAGGACUCCACCUUCCAAACCAAGUUGGAUACGGUUUGGAAGAGGAGACCUUCCCCCCUUGGCUCGGCCGACCCCCUUGGGGCUCCUUGAGCCUCAAGGCAAGGCUCCCCCUCUUCCCCCUAUAUAUACGGAGGUUUUAGGGCUGAUUUGAGACGUUUUUCCAUGGCAGCCCGACCACAUACCUCCACGGUUUUUCCUCUAGAUCGCGUUUCUGCGGAGCUCGGGCGGAGCCCUGCUGAGAUAAGAUAACCACCAACCUCCGGAGCGCCGUCACGCUGCCGGAGAACUCUUCUACCUCUCCGUCUCUCUUGCUGGAUCAAGAAGGCCGAGAUCAUCGUCGAGCUGUACGUGUGCUGAACGCGGAGGUGCCGUNNNNNNNNNNNNNNNNNNNNNNNNNNNNNNNNNNNNNNNNNNNNNNNNNNNNNNNNNNNNNNNNNNNNNNNNNNNNNNNNNNNNNNNNNNNNNNNNNNNNGAUAAGAUCUUCGUAGAAUAUGUAGGAUCCAAUAUGGGCAUCCAGGUCCCGCUAUUGGAUAUUGACCGAGGAGUCUCUCGGUCAUGUCUACAUAGUUCUCGAACCCGCAGGGUCUGCACACUUAAGGUUCGACGUUGUUUUAUGCGUAUUCGAGUUAUAUGGUUGGUUACCGAAUGUUGUUCGGAGUCCCGGAUGAGAUCAAGGACGUCACGAGGGUUUCCGGAAUGGUCCGGAAAUGAAGAUUGAUAUAUAGAAUGACCUCAUUUGGUUACCGGAAGGUUUUCGUGCAUUACCGGAAAAGUUUCGGGCUCAUCGGUAGUGUACUGGGAGUGCCGGGAGGGGUGCCGGGGACCAUCAGGAGGGGUGUCACGCCCCAUGGGGUCUCAUGGGCUAUGGGAAGAGAUAAACCAGCCCCUAGUGGGCUGGAAUAAGUUCCCACUAAGGCCCAUAAGGUUUGAGAAGGAAAAAACACAAGGUGGAAAGAGUUUCCAAGUGGGAAGGUGGAAUCCUACUCCAAGUAGGAUUGGAGUAGGACUCCUCGACCUCCAAUUUCGGCCAAACCUUUAGGUUUUGAGGCUGCCUCCUCCCCUCCCUCCCUCCUAUAUUAGUGGGGUUUUAGGGCUGAUUUGAGACAACUUUUGCCACGGCAGCCCGACCACAUACCUCCACGGUUUUACCUCUAGAUCGCGUUUCUACGGAGCUCGGGCGGAGCCCUGUUGAGAUUAGAUCACCACCAACCUCCGUAGCGCCGUCACGCUGCCGGAGAACUCUUCUACCUCUCCGUCUCUCUUUCUGGAUCAAGAAGUCCGAGAUCAUCGUCGAGCUGUACGUGUGCUGAACGCGGAGGUGCCGUCCGUUCGACACUAGAUCGGAGCGGAUCGUGGGACGGAUCGCGGGACGGUUCGUGGGACGGUUCGCGGGGCGGAUCGAGGGACGUGAGGACGUUCCAUUACAUCAACCGCGUUUCUUAACGCUUCUGUUGUGCGAUCUACAAGGGUACAUAGAUCGGAAAUCCCCUCUCGUAGAUGGACAUCACCAUGAUAGGUCUUCGUGCGCGUAGGAAAUUUUUUGUUUCCCAUGCGACGUUCCCCAACAAAUACUUGGGGCAAUUGCGCUUUCAGUGACCAGUCCCCUUGCAAUAAUAGCACUCAGUUUCUGGCUUAGGUCCAGCCUUGGGUUUCUUCAUCGUAGGGGCAACAGUUUUGCCACUCUUCUUGGAGUUACCCUUCUUGCCUUUGUCGUUCUUCUUGAAACUAGUGGUCUUAUUGACCAUCAACACUUGAUGCUCUUUCUGGAUUUCUGACUCAGUGACUUUCAGCAUCGCAAAUAACUCGUCGGGUGACUUAUUCAUCCCUUGCAUGUUAUAGUUCAACACGAAGCUCUUGUAGCUAGGUGGCAGUGAUUGAAGAAUUCUGUCAGUGAUAGCUUCUUGCGGAAGAUCAAUCCCCAGCUCAGCUAGACGGUUUGAGUACCCCAGACAUUUUGAGCACAUGUUCACUGACAGACGAAUUCACCUCCAUUUUGCAAGCAUAGAAUUUAUCGGACUUCUCAUACCUCUCGAUCCGAGCAUUCUUCUCAAAGAUAAACUUCAACUCCUGGAACAUCUCAUAUGCUCCAUGAUGUUCGAAAUGUUGUUGAAGUCUCGAUUCUAAGCUAACAAAACUACACAUUGAACUAGUGAGUAGUCAUCCUUACGAGCUUGCCAAGCGUUCAAAACAUCUUGGUCAGCCGUAGAGGGUGGUUCAUCUCCUAGCGCUGCAUCAAGAACAUAAUUCUUUUGCCCAACUUGAAGGAUAAGCCUCAGAUUUACAGCCCAGUCUACAAAGUUGCUAUCGUCAUCUUUCAACUUAGCUUUCUCUAGGAACGUAUUGAAAUUCGGGGUUGCUACUUCGCGAGCCAUUGAUCUACAACAUAAAAUUUUGCAAAGAUUACUUAGACUAUGUUCAAGACAAUUUGAGUUUAGCUAAUCAUAUUACUAAUAAACUCCCACUCAAAUAGACAUCCCUCUAGUUAUUUGAGUGUGGCAUGAUCCAAAUUCACUAACUCAAGUCCGAUCAUCACGUGAGUUGAGUAUAGUUUCAGUGGUGAACAUCUCCAUGUUGAUCAUAACUACCGUAUGGUUCAUGCUCGACCUUUCGGUAUCUUGUGUUUCGAGGCCAUGUCUGUACAUGCUAGGCUCGUCAAGUUUAACCCGAGUGUUCCGCCUGUGCAACUAUUUUGCACCCGUUGUAUGUGAACAUUGAGUCUAUAACACCCGAUCAUCACGUGGUGUCUCGAAACGACGAACUGUCGCAACGGUGCACAGUUGGGGAGAACACAAUUUUAUCUUGAAAUUUUAGUGAGGGAUCACCUUAUAAUGCUACCGUUGUUCUAAGCAAGAUAAGGUGCAUAAAAGGAUUAACAUCACAUGCAAAUCAUAAGUGACAUGAUAUGGCUAUGAUCUUUGUGCUUCUUGAUCUCCACCACCAAAGCACCGGCAUGAUCUUCAUCGUCACCGGUGCCACACCAUGAUCUCCAUCAUCGUGCCGCCAUCGAGGUUGUAGUGCUAUCUAUGCUAUUACUACUAAAGCUACAACCUAGCAAUAUAGUAAACACAUCUGCAAGCACAAACGUUAGUUUAAAAACAACCCUAUGGCUCCUGCUGGUUGCCGUAGCAUCGACGUGCAACUCGAUAUUUAACUAUUACAACAUGAUCAUCUCAUACAUCCAAUAUAUCACAUCAUGUCUUUGGCCAUAUCACAUCACAUGCAUACCCUGCAAAAACAAGUUAGACGUCCUCUAAUUUGUUGUUGCAUGUUUUACGUGGCUGCUAUGGGUAUCUAGUAUGAUCGCAUCUUACUUACGCAAAGCCACAACGGUGAUAUGCAAAUUGCUAUUUAACCUUCUGCAAGGACCGCCUCGGUCAAAUCCGAUUCAACUAAAGUUGAAGAAACAGACACCCGUCAGCCAUCUUUAUGCAACAAUUUGCAUGUUAGUCGAUGAAACUGGUCUCUCGUAAGCGUACGAGUAAGGUUGGUCCGGGCCCUUUCAAUCCAACAAUACCGCCGAAUCGAGAAAAGAAUAAGGAGGGUAGCAAAUCGAACAUCAACGCCCACAAAUUUUUUUGUAUUCUACUCGAGAUAUCAUCUACGCAUGAACCUAGCUCAUGAUGCCACCGUUGGGGAACGUUGCAUGGGAAACAAAAAAUUUCCUACGCACACGAAGACCUAUCAUGAUGAUGAUCAUCUACGAGAGGGAGAUCGGAUCUACAUAACCUUGUAGAUCGCUAAGCGGGGAGCAUUAAUAAACACGGUUGAUGUAGUGAAACGUCUUCGCGAUCCAAAUCGCCGCCAUCCCACGAUCCGUCCCGAUCUAGUACCAAACGGACGGCACCUCCGCGUUCGGCACACGUACAACUCGAUGACGAUAUCCGCCUUCUUGAUCGAGCAAGAGAGAUGGGGAAGUAUAUGAGUUCUCCGGCAGCGUGAUGGCGCGCCGGUGGUGGUGGUGAUCUAUUCCUGCAUGGCUUCGCCUAAGCACCGCAGUAAUCUGAUCUAGAGGAAGAACUAUGAAGUAGAGGUUUAGGCUUGCACGUGGCAAAGUUGUCUCUCAAAAAUCCUAAAACCUCUAGUAUAUAUAGGAGGAGGGAAGGGCUAGCCUUGAGGCUCAAGGAGAGCCUCCUUGGCUUCGACCUAAGUGGAGGAGGGAGGAGUCCUCCUCCAAUCCCAAUUGGAUUAGUACUCCUUCCAAAAUUUCCCACCUCUUUUGGAUUUUCCACCUUUUUCCUCAUGGGCUUUCCUUGGAUGACUUGUGAGCCCAUUAAGCCUUAUUGCGCAUCCAAUAAACUCAUGUGGACCCCUUGGAGCGUGGUGAGCCCACCUGGUGGCCCCCCUGUACCCAUUCGUCACUCUCGGUACACUGUCGGCCAUGCCCAAAAUUCUUCCAGAAUCCAAAUACCAACUUCCUAUAUAUUAAUCUUUGUUUCUGGACCAUUCUGGAAACCCUCGUGACAUCCAAGAUCUCAUCCGGUACUCCGAACAAAACUUCGUUCACCAGCACCUAUAACUCAACUAUACCGAAACGUCACCGAACCUUAAGUGUGCAGACCCUGCGGGUUCGAGAACUAUGCAGACAUGACCUGAGACACUCCCUGGUCAAUAUCCAACAGCGGGACCUGGAUGUCCAUAUUUGAUCCUACAUAUUCUACGAAGAUCUUAUCGGUUGAACCUCUAUGCCAAGGAUUCAUAUAAUCCCGUAUACCAUUCCCUUUGUCCUUCGGUAUGUUACUUGCCCGAGAUUUGAUCGUCGAUAUCUCUAUACCUAUUUCAACCUCGUUACUGGCAAGUCUCUUUACUCGUUCCGUAAUACAAGGUCCCGUGACUACUCUUUAGUCACAUUGCUUGCAAGGCUUAUAUGUGAUGUUGUAUUACCGAGUGGGCCCCGAGAUACCUCUCCGUCACACGGAGUGACAAAUCCCAGUCUUGAUCCAUGCUAACUCGACGGACACCUUUGCGACGUUUGAUACACACAAGGCACUCCUCCGGUGUCAGUGAUUUACAUGAUCUCAUGGUCAUACAAAUGAAUACUUGACAUGCAGAAAACAAUAGCAACAAAAUGACACGAUCACAUGCUACAUUUAUAGUUUGGGUCUCGUCCAUCACAUCAUUCUCCCAAUGAUGUGAUCCCGUCAUCAAGUGAUAACACUUGUCUAUGGCCAGGAAACCUUAACCAUCCUUGAUCAACAGGCUAGUCAACUAGAGGCUCACUACGGUCACAGUUUUGUCUAUAUAUCACAUGCAUUUAUGUUUCCAUUCAAUACACUUAUAGCAUGGGUAAUAAACGGUUAUCUUGAAACAGGAAAUAUAAUAAUAACUAUUUUAUUAUUGCCUCUAGGGCAUAUUUCCAACACAUGACACAACGAUGCAACCGAUAAUUCAACUAUGAAAAUACUAAAAUGAAAAUUGCAAAGGCUUAGACUCGCUUGGACAAAGGAUGACUAGAUCUAACUCUUUUUUUGUUGGGGAACGUAGUAGUAAUUCAAAAAAAGCAUACGUCACACAAGGAUCUAUCCAUGGAGAAACCAGGAAUGAGCAAAGGGGUAGAGAAUCUUCAUACCUUUGAAGAUCUCUAAGCGGAAGCGUUGCUAGAACAUGGUUGAUGGACUCGUACUCCCAGCGAUUCAGAUCGCGGUGGAUUCUAAUGUAUGCGCCGAACAACGGCGCCUCCGUGUUCAACACACGUGCAGCCCGGUGACGUCUCCAACGCCUUGAUCCAGCAAGGAGGGAGGAGAGACUGAGGGAGAGCUUCGGAAGCACGACGGCGUGGUGAUGGUGGAGCUACGUGGCACUCCGACAGGGCUUCGUCAAGCACUACGGAGGACGAUGAGGAGGAGCAGUAGGGCUGCACCGAGAGGCAGGAAUAACUUCCUUCUUUGGAGCCCUAAUACCCCACAUAUAUAUAGGGGGAAGGAGGAGGAGAGCCGUCCACCCCUAGGGAAACCCUAGGAGGUGCAGCGGCCAAGGAGGAGGAGCACGUGGCGCCCUGGGGUGGCUUGCCACCCAAGGCAAGCCUCUCCACGCCCUAGGGUUGGCCCCUUAGCCCUUGUGCACCUUGGGCCUUAGGUGGGUGGCGCACCAGCCCACCUAGGGACUGGUUCCCAUCCACUUUAGGCCCAUGUAACCUCUUGUAGCUGGUGGCCCCUCCCGGUGGACCCCUGGAACCCUUCCGGCGGUCCCAGUACAUUAAUGACGAAUCCCGAAACACUUCCGGCGAUCAAAACUCCACUUCCUAUAUAUGAAUCUUUACCUCCGGACCAUUCCAGAACUCCUCGUGACGUACAAGAUCUCAUCCGGGACUCCGAACUACCUUUAGUAACCACGUACACUAUUGCUGUGAUGCCCUCGAUUUAAUCAUACACUAAUCAUACACGCAAAUGCGUACGAUCAAACUCAAGGACUCACGGGAAGAUAUCACAACACAACACUAGACACAAAUAAAAUAAGCAAGCUUCAUAUUACAAGCCAGGGGCCUCGAGGGCUAGAAUACAGAAGCUCGAGAAACACACGAGUCAGCGGAAGCAACAAAUAUCUGAGUACAGACAUUAAACAUGGGGUGCCUUAGAGAAGGCUAGCAUAAAAGACACAACGAUCGAACGAGGCGAGGCCUCCUGUCUGGGAACCUCCUAACUACUCCUGGUCUUCAGUGGCCUCCACGUAGUAGUAGGCACCGUCGGGGGUAGCAGGCGUCAUCGGCGGAGAACUCCAUUUCCUGGGCUCCAUCAUCUGGUCAUAGCAACGGAUCAAGGGGCAAAGGGGGAGCAAAGCAACGGUGAGUACUCAUCCAAAGUACUCGCAAGUCUUACAUCAGAACUAUUCUAAGUAUGCAACAAUAUCAAAGAAGGGGGCUGGUUAUAUGUGGACUGACUGCAACAAUGCGAGAAAAGAGAGAGAAGGCCUAGUCCUAUCGAAGACUAGCAUCUUCAGGGUCUUGCAGCAAUAGACGAGAGUAGAACAGGUGUAACACAAUUAAUAGUCAUAUUGUUGCAGCAAUAUUAAUAAGAGGUCACGCCCAGAGAUUGUGACAGCCCGAUGCCGAUGUUCCAGAAGAUUCCCCUUUUCUUCCCAUUUUCGUCGUGUGUCUACUUUCUUUUAUCGCAUCAUCAUCGCAUCAUUCGCAUCAUCUGCAUUGCAUCGGCUUCUCCGUUGCCCCCAAUUUUUUUAAAAAACUUGCAUCCGUUGUUAGUUGCCGGUUCUCGUCGUUGUCCGUUCUGAGCCCGACCGCACUCGCCCGCGCCCGCGGCAUCGUUUAAAUCUUGUUUUCAAAAGUGUGCGUAAAACUUUCUCUGAUCGGGUUGAGAUUUGACGUGUGGUCUUAUUUUAAUAUAGCUAGGCCGCCUAUCAAAUUUCGUCGCGAUCGGAGUCCGUCUGUUACCCGAACGGUCGACCGUAGCGGCACCGUAUUCGGUCUAUAGUCGGAUGUUUGUCGGUGUUUUAAAAAUCGUUGCCGCGCCGCACCACUUCCCUCUCUUCUUAGCCGAUGUCACUCUACACAGCUAACCCUAGCCCGCCUCUCCGAUCGUGAUCGGAGGGUCGAAAAACCCCGAGAUACCCUCUAACCUAGCCCCUCUUCCCUAUUUAAACACCCCUAAAUUGCCCCUAAGGGAAACCCUAGCCACUGCAUCGUUUUCCGUGCCACCCUAACAGUCAGCCGCCACCUGAGCCUGUUCCUCCUCCCUCCUCGAGCCAGGCCCGCUUGGGCCCGAGAGAGGCCCGCCCGAGCCCAUCUGGGCCCGAAGCAGCGCAGCCGCCGCUUGCCCAGCUCCCGUGGCUGCCUGCCUCGCCUACUCCCGAGCCCCGCAGCAGCCGUGCCUCGCUGGAGACCACCAGAGGCCGGCGCCCCUCCUGUCGCCGAGCUCCACCGCGCGCUCACGUCGCCGUGGUGCCCUGUCGCCGGUGCAGGUCGCCGCCAUCGGCCGGAGUAGCCCCGCCGCCGAAGUAGCCUCGCCCCAACCGGAGCACCUUCUGCGCCAGCCUCCCGCGCUAGAUCCGGCCGGCCCAUGCCCGGAUUCGAUCCACGCCGCCGGUUCCCUUCGCGGACGUCGCCGGAGCUCUGCAUCGCUGGGGAGCCGCCGUUCCUCUUGCCCUCGUCCCGCGAGAGGAGCACGAUGAGGUCGCGACACCUCGCUCGCGAGCGCUGACCCUCGCGUGGGCCGCCCGAGCGCCUGGGGCGAGCUGCCUCGCUGGUUUCGGCCCAGGCCAGGGGUUAGCGUGCCUCAUCCUGAAGCCCAGCCCCCUCCAGGCCCACCACGAGCCGGCCAAGAGGCCCAACCGAGGUGAGCCUCUAUUCAUUUCCCCUGUGCACAUUUUAGAUAUGUUGCGCAUGCUGUCGGCCCGAUAGUUAAUUUAGUUAGUUUUAGGAUUAUAUUAUUUCCAGGGUUUAGCUAAAUAUUAAAACGACCGUAUCUUUUAUUCCGUUAGUCGGAUCGUGAUGAAUUAGAUAUGGUUUUCACGUAGUUUUGCGCGUAGAAUCCGAAGUUGCAACUUGCAUAUUUAUUUGUUGUAGUUUAGCGUGCCUAAUUCAUAAACGUACGUGCUGUCCCUAUAGGAUGUAGUCCGUAUUAAUUUCUCGUGCGUGUCCGGAUUGCCUGUAUGCCGUAUUAGAAAUGCCCAUGUUUUAGGAACUAUUUUUCCAUGUAUUUUAGAGUAGACGUUGGUAUUUUUGCGCGUAGGGAUUUGCCGCUAGAUUAUUUUCCGUGUAUAGGUUAUUUUCUCCCAUUUAUGUGUGGCAUAUUUUCGUGUUGCAACCCCACAUAUUUUAUAUGUUUUCGGGGUAGAAAAAUCCCAUAUUUUUCUGUGCAAUUAGUUUUAGCUUUUGAGUAAGUUAGUUCGCAUGAUAUUUUGCUAUGUUGCCCUCUUGUCUUUUUCGUAGGAUUUAUUCCGUGCUUCGUUUGACGGAGUUGUCAACUAGUGAGUUGAUCUUUGAUGUUUACUCUAGCCCCUGGUAUUUUUAGUUGCAAUAGAAAUGCAUGUUUAGGUGUGGUUUGCUUGCUCUCAAGUUGCUAGAAAUAGUGCUGAUUUGGAGGUGCUGAAAUAUUUCUAAGUCUGGAAUCUGUUAUAUUUUGUUGCUGUCUUGUCUUGCUUGUAUCUUGUGAUCUGUAGCUCUUUUAAGGUUGGUCCAAUGGAGUUAGUUGUAGCCCUUGUGUUUCUCUAGCAUGCUGUGAAUUUGCAUGCCAUUUGGAGUCUUGUAGCUCAUGGUUUUGCUUCUGUCAAUAUGGCUUGAGAUCGAAAACUGCACUUUCAUGAGGUGUAAUUUUCACUAAGUCUGAAAUAGUGUGUGAGAUGCCAUUUUGUGUCUUCUUUCCCUAGUGAUCCAUGAUGCCAUGCUAGUUGUUGUUAGUUGUUUGUAGUAGUGCUUCUUUCCCUCUUUCGUGUCAUGCCUUGAUUGAGUUUAUCGAAGUUGUGUAGCCCGUAGUUGUGGGGUGUAGAAAAUGCUAUGUGGCUGAUUUUGGCAGUUUGUAGUGAUUUCUUGUUUAGCUCGUAGUUUUUGAUCCGUAGCUCCGUUUUGAUCGUGUCCUACAUGAAACUUGCUUAGAAUCUUGUGUAGUUUCAUUUUCUCUUGCUGGUUGUAUGUUUUGAAGUGCUCGUGACCGUCGUUGCACACAUAUUGCCUUCAUGCCAUCAUAUCUUGCGGUGCUUGUAUCUUUUGAUCCGUAGCUCCGUUGGAGAUGUUCUCUAUGUGUAGAUUGCAUGAAAUGACGCGUAGAAUCACGUGAACCUAUUUUUUUUUUCUGUUUAACAACCAAUUAAAUGUGUUAGUUCAGAUCUGGAUAGAAUUGUAAAUUAACAUGUGAGGUCGUGUCGGAGAAGCUAUAUGUCAUUUCCGACCUCAUUUAAAAUGCCUAGAUAGGUAGUUUAAUUACGCUUCACCUCUUGCCAUGUUUAACCACAUGUAAUAUAGCCGUUUAUAUAAUCGGGAUAGAACUAAAUAAAUAAACGUGGAGUUUCGUCAACAUGCAACGAGUUGCAUAUUAAACUUCACUUAAUGUGUAGUGUUUGUUUGUCGUGAAUUGUCUUGCCGUGACUUGUUUGCAUUCAGCCUGUCCAUGCAUCAUAUGUGUUGUGCAUCGUGUGGUGAAUAUCGUGUGUUGAUGCUUGUUCCGGUUUUCCCCGUCUCGAUAGAGUUCCGCAAGCGUGUCGGAUGUGAGGACCCGUUCGACUACAUCCGUUCGUCUGCUUCACGGAGGCAUUCUUCUUCCAAGUGGGAUCUCAGGCAAGAUGACCAUUUCCCCAGAUACCAUUACUAUCAUCGCCAUGCUAGUUUACCGUUUCUAUCGAUUAUGUCUCGUUGCCUACCACAUGUUAAAUAUCAGCCUCUCAACAAUGUCAUGAAACCUUCAACCUGUUCGACCUAGCAAACCACUGAUUGGCUAUGUUACCGCUUGCUUAACCAUGUUGUUAGCGUUGCUAGUUGCAGGUGUAGUUGCUUCCAUGUGAAAACAUGGGUUCCUUGUUAUAUCACCAUAUUAAUGCUAUUUAAUUUAAUGCACCUAUAUACUUGGUAAAAGGUGGAAGGCUCGGCCUUUCUAUCCUGGUGUUUUGUUCCACCUUUGCCCCCUUAGUUUCGGCUACCGGUGUUAUGUUCCAUAAUUGAGCACUCCUAACACGAUCGGGGUUGUUAUGGGGCCCCCCUUGAUAAUUCGUUUUAGAUUAAAGCUGGUCUGGCAAGGCCCAACAUUGGUACUAUUUGCCCAACAUAAUAAUUCUGUUAAUUUGAAAUGCAUAGGGAGUUAGCGCUACCCGAGGAGUAAUUCGACAUAAUACAGGGGGGCAGUGCUGAUGGUGCUAGUCCAAAACUAGAGCCGUUUGCGGGGCCAACCCAGGGCAACUUGGGAGAUUUCUAUCAGGCCACCGUACGCUGUGCUUAUCCGUCGUGUCCUGAGAACGAGAUACGCGGCUCCUAUCGGGAUCGUCGACACGUCGGGCGGCCUUGCUGGAUUAGUUUUACUUUUGACGAGAUAUCUUGUGCAUCGGGAUUCCGGUGAUGCUUUGUGUAAUCUCAGAGUUGAGGUUUUCCCUAGGGAAUCCGACGAGAUCGCGAGCUUCGUGAUUGAGGAUUUCUAUGCGGCUUGUGGUAAUUUUUGAUGGACUAGUUGGAGCACCCCUGCAGGGUUAAAUCUUUUCAGAAAGCCGUGCCCGCGGUUAUGUGGCAACGUGGAAACUUUAUUUAACACUGGUUCUAGAUAACUUGAAGUUAACUUAAUUAAAAUAUGCCAACUGUGUGCGUAACCGUGACUGUCUCUUUAGUUAGUUCUUUCUCCGACCGAGGACACGGUGGGGUUAUGUCUGACGUAGGUAGGUGUUUAGGAUCAUUCUUUUGAUCAUGAGUAGAUACGUCUGUUAUGCGUAGAUCUUCCCCCCUCUUAUUUCUUGUACUCGUAAGUUAGCCACCAAAUAUAUGCUUAGCCGCUGCGGCAACCUCACCACUUAACCAUACCUCACCUAAUAAGCUUUGCUAGUCUUGAUACCUUUGGAAAUGAGAUUGCUGAGUCCCCUGUGGCUCACAGGUUACUACAACACCAGUUGCAGGUUCAGGUAAAGGUUACUUGACGCAAGCGCUUUGUAACAUCCCAAAAUUAUAAAUUUUGGAAUGUUAAUAUAAUUAUUAGAUUGAUUGUUUGUUUGAUUGCUGAGUGACUGAAACUUGUGUGAAAUUUGAAACUUUUCGGAACUUUUGAAUGAGAGGGAAUAAAAUGACUUUCCCCAUCUCCGGUGAAUUCAAAUUCAAGCUUUUAAAAGCAACGAGAGAAGAUGACAUGGCUUCUUCAACUAUAAAGAAUUUGAACGAAUAUAUUUGCGUUGAAUUAUUUUGUUUUUCCAUUUUUCCAUCGCGCGAGAAAUGUCCGGAGAAAACUCUCUUGCACGCAAGAGAGAGAGUGAGCGGAGGAAAAUGACACUCCAAAAGUGCGGGCAAAUCUCUGAAAUAAUUGAGCAAAGAAAACCCAAAAUUCUUUUGCAAAAAUAAUUGCAAAAAGAAAUAAAGCAAAUUGGGAAUUUUUCUGAAAAAAACAUUUUUUUCAGGUUUUUAUUUUGGCUUUAAAAAAUGUUAUUUGGGUAGAGAUUUAUUUUCUGAUUUUUUUUGGUAUAUUAUACCAUAUAUUAAUAUUUUGAUUUACUUUCUUUUUGACGUUUAUAUUUUCUGUUUUGGAAAGGUUUUAUAUUAGGAAACUUUUUAUUUUUUUUCUUGCCACCGCCCUGGGCGUAUCUUAGCCCAACCCGAGCCCCACCUUACUUUCCCUUUUUUUUCUCUGCCCAGCGCCCCCUCUACCCCCUCUCUUUGCCCAAGGGACCCCACCCGAGCUCCUCUCUCCCCACAUCACCUCUUCUUCCUCCUCGCCUCCUUCCCCUCCUGCCCGAGACCACGUCUCCUCCCAGGGACCGAGCUUUCCUUCCCCAACGCCCUCCCUCUCCCUUCCUUAAGUCUCCCUCCCUCCUUCCACUGCCCCUUGGCCGCCACCGCCCGAAGCCUUCCCCUCUCCCCGUCACCUUCCUUUCUCUUCCUCCCUCACUUUCCUACCUGCACCAGAGACCGAACCAAGCCGCCAUCGCCACGAUUUCUUCCUCCACCGCCACCUCUCCUUCCUUAGCUCGCCUCCCCCAUGGCCUAUAUAAGUGCCUCCACCGCCACGACCCCGUUCCCGCCCUAACCUAGCCGUCGCCGCCGCCCUAGCCCUGCACCACCGCCGCCAGCAGGCCAAGCCGCUGCACCCCACCUUCGGCCUGGCCCCCAACUACCAGCACCAGAGCCUCACCUCGCCACCCGAGCCCUCUCACCCCGCCGCCGCCUUCCCCGCCGAGGAGGAGUACCCUCGCCGCCACCCCACCCCGUCCCCUCGCCACCCGCUCGCCGGAGCAGCAGCAGCAGCGAGCUGCACCACGUUUGCACCACCCUCCAGGAGCCUCGCCCCGGAGCGCCCCGUCGAGCCCCUCCGUCUUCCCCGAGCGCCCCCCCCGAGGAGGAGCACCCCACCGCCGCCGCCCGACGUCCCCACCCCCCACCGGAGCUCCCUCCUCGCCGGCCAUCUUCCAUCCUCGCCGGUGCACCCCUCUGCCCAGCAGGUAGCUAUCCCUCUCUCUCUCUAGUUUGCAUGCAUUAGUUUUUAGCCUUUAGAUCUCCAUGCAAUGGCUAGGAUUAGAACACUAGUACCUCUUCGGUCUAAUAAGAAAAACCAGUGGGUUUUUAGUUCACUUACGAUUUAACCAGCGAAAUUUGCUAGAGCCCGGCCGUUUGCCCGAAGCCAUUCAACAAACGUUCCCCGCAGCCACUAAUAGCCUGCCACGUUUGCCUCUCUUUUAGCACUAGUAGCUGCAGAUUUUCUGUCUAUAUUAGCAAAAACAGAAACUUUCAAUCUUGUUUUGGCCACAACUUUUUAUCCCGAAGUCCAAUGACUUUGAUUAUUUUUCCAGUAGCUCACAAAUUUCCUGUAGUUUUUAAAAACAUAUAAUUUGUCUAUGUUUGAAAUUUUUAAAUAUAAGUUAGAGCAGAUUUAGUUUAAACCUUGUUCUGCCUAUUCCAGGAGUUUAAAAAUAGGUUUUAAUUUGAUUCCUUUUGGUACUGAUCACUAGCGAUAUUAUGUAUCAGUGGUAAAAAUUUCAGUUUUGUUUGAGUAUUUUAGGCCACUGUUUCAUGUAAAACAAUUUCUGUUUCACCGCUUUUAGGAUUUCGGCUAAUUCAUUUUUCUAGCUUUGUUUUAAAAUAUUUUAUUUAUUAUUUCAGAAACAUUAUUGUUUUGUUUCUGUUAGAUAAGACAGUAGUUUUGCAACAAGUUUUUAUUGUAUUUUUAUUUGUUUUCAUGAAAUCAAUUCUAGUCCCGUAGUAACGUGCAAUUGUUUUCCCCGUGUUUCAAAUCCCGUUUGGGAAUACUUUCGAAAAGUUUUGUGAAAAAUACUUUAUUUUAUAUUAGUCAAACUUAUAACUUAGUUCUUUGUUAUUAUUUUAUGUUAGACAAAAUCAUUUAGUGUUUGACGUAGUAGAAGACUCUCUAGUCUUAUUUGAAGUUUUCUUCGGUUUCCUAUUCGCUCUCUCUCUUUUGUUUUGAUUCCUAGAAUGAUUGCUAGUAUGAACUUAUGUGAAUGAUGUGUUUGUUAUAUAGAUUUCAUCGGAGAGUGACGAGUAGUCUAUCAAAUUAUUUUCUCGAGGAAUUCUUCUUCGUCAACAUCACAGGCAAGUCAUCUUUGAUCAUGUUAUUUUACCUAUGUUUUCAAUGCAUGGUAGAUCACCUUCUUUUCCCAAUUUGCAUGCUGCCUAGGUACUUGGAAAACUUUAGUCAUAGUUGUAGUAUCAUGUGGUAGGAGCACAACAACCCCGAUACUUGGCCCCGGGACGUCAAUGUUAUAUUUGCUAUGCUUAAGUAGACGGGUUAUCGGUUGAGUGUAUGCCACGAGUGAUGCGAGAUUGAUAUUAUAAUCAAGACCGGACUAAGACAAGAUUUUCAAGACCUCGGACGCAAUGCAACACUGGGUGAAGGACGGUUGACCGGCUCCCUGGAAAACCCAGUGGAUGCCCGGGAUGCUGGAGAGGCCAUGUCAUCCUGCGGAAAGCUUCACCCAGGCUCAAAGAGACGGACGGAUAUUUUCAAGACCCAAGGCUUACCUGCACAGCCACAAGUCAUUAUGGGCUCUGGCUUGGUUGGAAAACGCGGCGACUCUGGACAGGCGGUGCUAGCAGAUGUAGAAGAACGGUAGGAAUGGAUGGGCACCGACAGGGAUUCAGAGGGACCCAUUGAAAGACCAUGUUUUGNNNNNNNNNNNNNNNNNNNNNNNNNNNNNNNNNNNNNNNNNNNNNNNNNNNNNNNNNNNNNNNNNNNNNNNNNNNNNNNNNNNNNNNNNNNNNNNNNNNNNNNNNNNNNNNNNNNNNNNNNNNNNNNNNNNNNNNNNNNNNNNNNNNNNNNNNNNNNNNNNNNNNNNNNNNNNNNNNNNNNNNNNNNNNNNNNNNNNNNNNNNNNNNNNNNNNNNNNNNNNNNNNNNNNNNNNNNNNNNNNNNNNNNNNNNNNNNNNNNNNNNNNNNNNNNNNNNNNNNNNNNNNNNNNNNNNNNNNNNNNNNNNNNNNNNNNNNNNNNNNNNNNNNNNNNNNNNNNNNNNNNNNNNNNNNNNNNNNNNNNNNNNNNNNNNNNGUGUGCAAAACUCUGAAGAGUACUCAAACCUAAUCGAUUAGCCGUGUCCACGGUCAUGGACGACUUGAGCCAAAGGAACUGAAGUUAUCUGGAUUUCUCAACACCAUUAUAUAUAUUUGAUGAGGGUAAUUAUUGACAACUCGGGUACGAGAACUGGUUGGCGGAACCAUCUCGUUAACAACCAACUUUUUGUAGUAAUAUUUUGCUUCCAACCCCUCUUGUUGUAGGAUAAAACUGGCUUUAUGCAAAACUUAGCUCCACCGGCCAAAUAUGCAUGUAGAGAUAGUUGAUUAUUAUUUUACUCCUCUCCUUGAUGACUUGCCGGCAUAUUCAAUAUGCUAACCUACACGGCUGCAACGUCUUAUGUUGAAGAUAUUUUUCUUCGACGAGUAAGAGUACGAUUCAGGGUUACGGUCUACACUCAACUUGCCGUUGGUGUUUAUUGUGACUCCACUCCCUUGACUGCUUCCGCUGAGAUAUUUAAGGUAUAUAUCAGUUUUACGCUAUUUACAUGUGGUUGCACUUUGAUAUAUACAUUGAUGUACUGUGUGUGCCAGCAUACUGAUCCAGGGAUGGCACAGAAACACAGAGGCUUGACUCGUUUUGAGUCGGGUCGCUACAGAAAUGGUAUCAGAGCACAUGUUGACUAUAGGACGUGACCCUAGAAACUGGAAAUUUCUUAGGAAAGGAUCUCUCAAAAAAUUUAUUUUCAACAACACCUUUUACUUCUCAUCUCUUCUGAUUUCAUCGAAUGUUCCCUCUCACCUCAAAUAGUUAGACAAUGCCCUUUCCCCUUUGACCUCAUGAAGAAUCAACGGAGUUCUACUUGAAAAUAAAGAGGAUUUCACCACGCGUUUGAAGAAUUGAAGCUACACCAACAGAAGACUCUCAAGACCCGAAGAGCUCGAAGACCCUGAAGCGUUCAAAUAUUUAUAUGACCAUUAGAAGUCCAAACCCCUGUUUUAUACCCACGUUAGAUACGAUGAUUUGUGAGCCUUCAUUGGUGUGUGUUUUCCGACCGCCACAAAUAAAACCUAUUCUCAAAAAUAUUGUUUGUAUUGUGUGUAUCUCCCUCCCUCUCUUACCCGUCUCAUCCCCAAAACCUCAACCCUGCCAGAUGGAGUAUGAAGCUGGACUUGUAGUCUCUGGACCAAUGACCCAGCUGGAGGCUGAAAUAUGGAUUCAAAACAUGGAGAACCACUUCGGGAGCAAUUUGAUCUCAAGGAAGUAUGAAGUGGAACACGCUCUUCAGUACUUUACACAAAGUGCUGCAAUCUGGUGGAAAAUGCAUCAUGCCAUACAAGGAUUUAGUGGAGCAGAAACCUAGGACGAAUUCAAUAAGACUCUGUUAAGAUCACGUCUUAUUCAGAAGUGCUAUGAUAAUACGAAGAAGAAGACUUGUGCAUGCAAGAUCUGUGGAGAAAUAGGACACACCCAGGAGGAACACAAGGAUGGAUGCACUCAUUGUGAAGAAAAUCACCCAGCUGAGGAAUGCCCAACUAGUCAUGUGACUUGUUUCUUGUGUGAAGGAACCACCCACUACCCAGUGGUGUGUCACAUUUACCCCAAGUAUGCCUGAAACCCACAGACCCCGGGACUAACAAGGAUCAAGUACUAUCUUUUUGGAGAAGGAAACUUGUUUCAGCAAACGUUUUCUUAGGAGCAUAUGAAAAUCUGAGAGUUGUGAAGAUACGAUAGAUGUUUUGUUCAGCUUGCAGAAUCAUUGGAUUUAUCCGAACUUCGUUCGUGGACAAGAGAAACUCUGCAAUGCUUGUGAGGACGUCCAAGUGUUAGAAUACGAGAUUCACUAAGCCUUAUACAAGGUAAUGAUUUCAGUGCGACAUGGCUUGGCCACCAUGAUGACUUACUAUUGUCAUUCUCUUGCUAUUCGGAAUGGUAAAUCUAAGAGACUUACCCAUAGUGAGAGACGACGUCCUUUGAAGCUUUUGUUUGAGCCUUAGAAUGGUAUAAUGAAAGCCCAUGUACAUGGCACUUGUUGUCACGCGUAGGAAAUUUUACGGUGAGGAUGAAGCCAAGACCCUUUUCUCUGCAGGAUAACCACAAAUGGUAGACCACCAUGAGAAUCAUCGAUAGGUUAUUUAGAAUAGUCACGAGACUUGUCAGUUAAGAAGACCCAGUGACGGAAGAAGCUUAUAUCAAUAGAAGAACCCUCGAUUUUGAUGGAAACAUUAUGAAUACAAUGGAAGAGCUUCACCAAAGUAGUUACCAUGAAGAAUGUGAGGAGUCAGAUGCCAAGAUCCCAGAGGAUUGUUAAUAAUUUGAGGGACUGGUAACUCUCAUUUUAAGUGUGGUAGCACCCCACCUUGCCGGAGAUUGGAUUUGUUAGAAGUCCCCCAAACCCUAACCUUUCUUUCUAGCCUCUUCGAAUCUCGAGGACGAGAUUCAUUUUAAAUGUGGUAGUUUGUAACAUCCCAAAAUUAUAAAUUUUGGAAUGUUAACAUAAUUAUUAGAUUGAUUGCUUGUUUGAUUGCUGAGUGACUGAAACUUGUGUGAAAUUUGAAACUUUUCGGAACUUUUGAAUGAGAGGGAAUAAAAUGACUUUCCCCAUCUCCGGUGAAUUCAAAUUCAAGCUUUUAAAAGCAAUGAGAGAAGAUGACAUGACUUCUUCAACUAUAAAGAAUUUGAACGAAUAUAUUUGCGUUGAAUUCUUUUGUUUUUCCAUUUUUCCAUCGCGCGAGAAAUGUCCGGAGAAAACUCUCUUGCACACAAGAGCGAGAGAGAGGAGGAAAAUGACACUCCAAAAGUGCGGGCAAAUCUCUGAAAUAAUUGAGCAAAGAAAACCCAAAAUUCUUUUGCAAAAAUAAAUAAAGCAAAUUGGGAAUUUCUGAAAAAUACAUUUUUUUUCAGGUUUUUAUUUUGGCUUUAAAAAAAUGUUAUUUGUGUAGAGAUUUAUUUUCUGAUUUUUUUGGUAUAUUAUACCAUAUAUUAAUAUUUUGAUUUACUUUCUUUUUGACGUUUAUAUUUUCUGUUUUGGAAAGGUUUUAUAUUAGGAAACUUUUUAUUUUUUUGUGGGGAACAGUAGGAAUGGAUGGGCACCGACAGGGAUUCAGAGGGACCCGUUGAAAGACCAUGUUUUGAUCAUCCGGUAUUCAAACACCCUGAAGUGCGAGGACAUACACGGAGGCGAUCAAAUCUUGUGGGGAAUGUGUGCAAAACUCUGAAGAGUACUCAAACCUAAUCGAUUAGCCGUGUCGACGGUCAUGGACGACUUGAGCCAAAGGAACUGAAGUUAUCUGGAUUUCUCAACACCAUCAUAUAUAUUUGAUGAGGGNNNNNNNNNNNNNNNNNNNNNNNNNNNNNNNNNNNNNNNNNNNNNNNNNNNNNNNNNNNNNNNNNNNNNNNNNNNNNNNNNNNNNNNNNNNNNNNNNNNNNNNNNNNNNNNNNNNNNNNNNNNNNNNNNNNNNNNNNNNNNNNNNNNNNNNNNNNNNNNNNNNNNNNNNNNNNNNNNNNNNNNNNNNNNNNNNNNNNNNNNNNNNNNNNNNNNNNNNNNNNNNNNNNNNNNNNNNNNNNNNNNNNNNNNNNNNNNNNNNNNNNNNNNNNNNNNNNNNNNNNNNNNNNNNNNNNNNNNNNNNNNNNNNNNNNNNNNNNNNNNNNNNNNNNNNNNNNNNNNNNNNNNNNNNNNNNNNNNNNNNNNNNAAAACUUAGCUCCACCGGACAAAUAUGCAUGUAGAGAUAGUUGAUUAUUAUUUUACUCCUCUCCUUGAUGACUUGCCGGCAUAUUCAAUAUGCUGACCUACACGGCUGCAACGUCUUAUGUUGCAGAUAUUUUUCUUCGACGAGUAAGAGUACGAUUCAGGGUUACAGUCUACACUCAACUUGUCGUUGGUGUUUAUUGGGACUCCACUCCCUUGACUGCUUCCGCUGAGAUAUUUAAGGUAUAUAUCAGUUUUACGCUAUUUACAUGUGAUUGCACUUUGAUAUAUACAUUGAUGUACUGUGUGUGCCAGCAUACUGAUCCAGGGAUGGCACAGAAACACAGAGGCUUGACUCGUUUUGAGUCGGGUCGCUACACGCGUUGAUUGUUCAUUUGGAGUUGCUUCUUCUUCUUCUUCUUCAUCGAUCUAGGAUGGGUUCCAGGCCGGCAGCCUGGGAUAGCAAGGAUGGACGUCGUUCUUCUUUUCUCGUUUGUUUUCGUCCGUAGUCGGACCCUGCUCUUACUCUUGAUGAUUAUGUAAUGUACCGAUGUGACUCUGAUGUAGCUUGUGGCGAGUGUAAGCCAACUCUGUUAUAUACCUCUUCUUUUCAGUACAUGUACUUGUAACGAUAUCCAUUCUCGCGACACGACGAGAUGCGCUUCUAUCCCUGACGAGGCCUUCGUGCCAGAUUGAGGAUAGGGUCGCAUCUUGGGCGUGACAGAGAUCCUCCCUCGACUCUCUGCGAGGAAGCAAUCCCGGGGCAACUAAAUCCAGUUAAGUAACAAUUGUAGUUGUAUAAGAUCAGGGCACAACUCCAAGUCGUCCUGUAACCGUGGACACGUCUAUUCGAAUAGAUAAGUUCUUCCCUGCACGGGUGCACAACAUAUUCCCCGACGCGCUCGAUAACACUCUGGCCGGACAAACUUUUCUGGGUCCUGCCUGGCCUCGGAAUAUCGACACGUCGCAGCCCCACCUAAGACUCGACAGAGAGGCCAACCCGCCGGUCUAACUCCUCCGCGCUCCUGCACGAUGCGUGGGCGGCCGAGGUCGGUCCUAGCACCCCUUAAUACAAGAGCGAUGCAUCUCGGGACCACUCGGGCACGCGCCGCUACAUUGCUGACAUCUGAAAAGCUUCAGCUGAUACCGCGACGUCGAGUACCCAUAAUUCUUCCCACGCACACGGUUAGUGCGUAAUAAGGCCUUCCGACCAACCCAGAUCAAAUACCCAAAUGUUAGUGCAAUACCUCAAUCCUUAUACCCAAAUGUGACGUGGGUGCUAGUGUUAUUGCAAUACCUCAAUCCUUAUACGAUGAAAUCAAAGAUGAGAUUGCACCUGUUGAGAUAGAGCCUAUUGAUGUCACUAUUCAGCUUGCCAAUAGAGAUACUAUCUGCCCUGUGGGAAAUGUUAGGGAUGUUGAAGUAUUGUGUGGUAAAACGAAGUAUCCUCCUGAUUUCCUCAUUCUUGCUACCGCACAAGAUAGCUUUUGUCCCAUCAUAUUUGGCAGACCCUUCCUCAAUACCAUCAAUGCUCAUAUUGACUGUGAGAAGCAAACUGUCAUUGUUGGCUUUGAAGGUGUGUCACAUGAGUUCAAUUUAUCUAAGUUUGGUAGACAACCUCAUGAAAAGGAGUUGCCUAGUAAGGACGAAACUAUUGCCUUAGCUUCUAUUGCCGUGCCUCCUACUAAUCCCUUAGAGCAAUACUUGCUUGAGCAUGAAAAUGAUAUGCAUAUGGAUGAAAGGGAUGAAAUAGAUAGAGUUGUCUUAGAACAAUAUUCUAUCCUUAAGAAUACCUUGUGUGUUGAACUGCUUGGGGAUCCACCUCCACCAAAGGGAGAUCCUGUGUUCGAGCUUAAACAGUUGCCUGAUACUCUGAAGUAUGCCUAUCCUGAUGAAAAAGAGAUAUAUCCUAUUAUUAUUAGUGCUAGCCUCUCGGAGCAUGAAGAAAAGAAGUUACUAAAAACUCUGAGGAAGCACCGUACUGCUAUCGGAUAUACUCUUGAUGAUCCUAAGGGCAUCAGUCCCACUCUAUGCUAGCACAAGAUUAAAACUGAUCCUGAUUUCAAACCAGUUGCUGAUCAUCAAAGGAGAUUAAAUCCUAAGAUGAAAGAAGUAGUAAGAAAAGAAAUACUAAAGCUCCUGGAAGAGGGUAUUAUCUAUCCUGUUGCUCAUAGCGAUUGGGUGAGUCCGGUGCACUGCAUCCCUAAGAAGGGAGGCAUUGCUGUUGUCCCUAAUGAUAAGGAUGAGUUGAUCCCACAAAGGAUUAUUACUGGCUAUAGGAUGGUGAUCGAUUUCAGGAAACUGAAUAAAGCCACUAGGAAAGAUCAUUACCCUCUGCCUUUUAUCGACCAAAUGCUAGAAAGGCUAUCUAAACACACACACACACUUCUGCUUUCUAGACGGUUAUUCUGGUUUCUCCCAAAUACGAGUUGCACAAUCUGAUCAGGAGAAAACCACUUUCACCUGCCCUUUCGGUACCUUUGCUUAUGGACGUAUGCCUUUUGGCUUAUGUAAUGCACCUGCCACCUUUCAAAGAUGUAUGAUGGCUAUAUUCUCUGACUUUUGUGAAAAGAUUGUCGAGGUUUUCAUGGAUGACUUCUCCGUUUACGGGUCUUCCUUUGAUGAUUGCCUCAACAACCUUGAUUGAGUCUUGCACAGAUGUAAAGACACCAACCUUGUCUUGAAUUGGGAGAAGUGCCACUUUAUGGUUAAUGAAGGCAUCGUCUUAGGACAUAAAAUUUCCGAAAGAGGUAUUGAAGUCGAUAAGGCUAAGGUUGAUGCAAUCGAGAAAAUGCCAUACCCCACAUAUAUCAAAGGUAUAAGAAGUUUCCUUGGUCAUGCUAGUUUCUAUAGAAGGUUCAUCAAAGACUUCUCUAAGAUUUCUAGGCCUCUCACCAAUCUCUUACAAAAGGAUAUGACUUUUUUUUACAAUGAUUGUGAGGAAGCCUUCAAAAUACUUAAGAGGGCUUUGAUAACUGCACCUAUUGUUCAACCACCUGAUUGGAACUUACCUUUUGAAAUCAUGUGUGACGCUAGUGAUUAUGCUGUUGGUGCUGUUCUAGGGCAAAGAGUCGAUAAGAAGUUGAAUGUUAUUCACUACGCUAGUAAAACUCUAGACAGUGCCCAAAGAAACUAUGCUACUACGGAAAAGGAAUUCUUAGCAGUCGUGUUUGCAUGUGAAAAGUUCAGGUCUUACAUAGUUGAUUCGAAAGUCACUAUUCACACUGAUCAUGCUGCUAUUAAGUACCUCAUGGAUAAGAAGGACGCUAAACCUAGACUUAUCAGAUGGGUUCUCUUGCUACAAGAAUUUGAUUUGCACGUUGUCGACAAAAAGGGUGCUGAUAACCCCGUAGUAGAUAACUUGUCUAGGUUAGAGAACGUUCUUGAUGACCCACAACCUAUUGAUGAUAGCUUUCCCGAUGAGCAAUUGAAUGCCAUCAAUGCUUCCCGUAGUGCACCGUGGUGUGCUGAUUAUGCAAACUAUAUUGUUGCCAAAUAUAUAGCACCUAGUUUCACAUACCAACAAAAUAAGAAAUUCUUCUUUGAAUUGAGACAUUACUUUUGGGAUGAUCCUCACCUUUGUAAGGAAGGAGUAGAUGGUGUUAUUAGACGUUGUGUACCUGAACAUGAACAGGGACAGAUGCUACAGAAGUGUCACUCCGAGACCUAUGGAGGACACCAUGCGGGAGAUAGAACUGCACACAAGGUAUUGCAAUCAGGUUUCUAUUGGCCCACUCUCUUCAAGGAUGCCCGUAAGUUUGUCUUGUCUUGUGACGAAUGUCAAAGAAUAGGUAAUAUUAGCAAACAUCAGGAAAUGCCUAUGAACUAUUCACUUGUCAUUGAACCAUUUGAUGUCUGGGGCUUUGAUUAUAUGGGACCUUUUCCAAAAUCCAACGGGUAUACUCAUAUCUUAGUUGAUGUUGAUUACGUCACUAAGUGGGUAGAAUCUAUCCCCACUAGUAGUGCUGAUAACAACACCUCUAUCAGGAUGCUGAAAGAAGUUAUCUUCCCUAGAUUUGGAGUCCCUAGAUAUCUAAUGACCGACGGUGGUUCACAUUUCAUUCAUGGUGCUUUCCGUAAAACGCUUGCUAAGUACGAUGUCAACCAUAGAAUUGCGUCUCUCUAUCACCCUCAGUCCAGUGGUCAAGUAGAGCUAAGCAAUAGAGAGAUUAAACUGAUGCUACAAAAUACUGUCAACAGGUCUAGAAAGAAUUGGUCUAAGAAGCUCGAUGAUGCACUGUGGGCUUAUAGAACUGCCUAUAAGAAUCCCAUGGGCAUGUCUCCGUACAAAAUGGUGUACGGUAAAGCAUGUCAUUUACCUCUUGAGCUAGAGCUUAAAGCUUAUUGGGCAAUCAAAGAGCUCAACUUUGAUUUCAAACUUGCCGGUGAGAAGAGGUUAUUUGAUAUUAGUUCGCUUGAUGAAUGGAGAACUCAGGCAUAUGAGAAUGCCAAGUUGUUCAAAGAAAAGGUUAAGGGGUGGCAUGAUAAGAGGAUACAAAAGCGUGAGUUCAAUGUAGGUGAUUAUGUCUUGCUAUAUAACUCUCGUUUAAGAUUCUUUGCAGGCAAGCUUCUCUCUAAAUGGGAAGGUCCCUAUGUUGUUGAGGAAGUAUAUCGUGCCGGUGCUAUCAAGAUCAACAACACGGAAGGUAAUUGUCCGAGAGUUGUAAAUGGGCAGAGAAUCAAGUAUUAUAUCUCACGUACUCCCAUAAAUGUUGAAAGCAAUAUUAUCAAUACCAUAACUCCGGAAUAAUACCUGAGGGAUAUUUAUCAGCCUGUUUCAGACUCUGAAAAUGAAGAGGUAUGUGAUUCGGUAAGAAAACAGAGUCCAAAACUUAUCCAAUAGGAAAUUUUCUCCGUUUUGGAAUAUUUAAAAAAAUACAAAAAUUGGAAGUAGUGCGAAAAGUGCGCGAGGAGGCGACAAGCCUGCAUGGCGUGGGCCCACCCCCUGGCCGCGCCGUGAGGGCUUGUGGCCACCUCGUGCGCCUCCCGGACUUCAUUUUCGUGCAGGGUACUCCUUCUGGUCUGAAAAAAAUUUAUUAUACAUACUUCCGUUUGGUUUGACCCCUGCAUCACGCAGAUUUCCUUUGUUUUUCGUUCCGAGCCUGUUUUCUGCCGCAGAUUUAGGGCAAGAUGUCUUGUCAAGAUUCAGAGGGGGAGAGCUUUGUGGCAGAUUAUCUUGCUAAUCCCAAGGUCUAUGGGGACUUGGAUCCUUAUGGCUGGACCACAGAUGAGGAAGAAUAUUAUGAUCCGAAGGGGAAGGAACAAACGAGUUCCGAUGAAGACGAGGCUCCUCUACCUCAACCUGGACGCACGCAUGUGGAGUUCAAGAAGUCGAGCCUCCCUGACUCAAGGAAGAAGCCUAAGACCUUGUUUAUGCCUUCUCGUUUCUUGCAGGAGAGUAAGCAGUAAUUAUGCAAAAGGGUGUUGAAGCUUGAAGAGGAAAAUGAUGAUCUGAGGGAGCAGAAUUUUAUGCUCAAGUGGAAAUUUAACAAGCUCAAGACCUCUGCAACAACUCCAGCACCAUCACCACCAAAGGAAGACAACUGAGCAUUGGUAUGGGAAAUCCCCUUGGCUUGUGCCAAGCUUGGGGGAGUUGCCCCGUUAUCGUAUCACCAUCACAUCUUUUGCCUUUACCUUUGUUUUAGUUUUCCUUUUCAGUUUUCUCUUUUUCUAGUAGAUUAAAAGUCUUAGUGUUUUAGUCUUGAGUUUUGCUUUGUGUCACCCCCGAUGUAUUCGAGCUCGUGAGCCAUAUAAUAAAGAGUGUCUUAGUUGAAGGGCUUUGCCUCUUGCCAUGAUCAAAAGAGUGAGAAUAGAACAAAAGCAUGAAAGAUCAUGUAAUGAUCUUAUGGGAAGUGAUGGCUUCACAUACAAAAAGAAUGAGGAUUGAAACUUGUUGAGGGUAGGCAAACGUAGACCAUGGUCAUGGUUGCAAUUAAUAGGAAGUGAUAAGGAAGGAGAGGUUCACAUAUAAAUAUAUCAUCUCUGACACCAUCUAUGAUUGUGAACACUCACUAAACUAUUGCAUGCCUAGAAGUAGAUGUUGGACAAGGAAGACAAUGUAAUGAAUUGUGUUUGCUUGGCUCCGAACAAUGUUAUAUGAUUAGAGAUCCCUUAGCAUGUGACGAUUGCUUCCACCUCAUAUUAGCCAAAACCUCUCGCACCAAGUAGAGAUACUACUUGUGCAUCCAUAAACCUUCAAACCAGUUUUGCCAUGAGUGUCCACCAUACCUACCUAUGGAUUGAAUAAGAUCCCUCAAGUAAGUUGUCAUUGGUGCAAGCAAUAAAAAUUUCUUCUAAUAUGUAUGAUCUAUUAGUGUGUGGAAAAUAAGCUUUAUACAAACCUGUGAUGAGGAAGACAUAAAAGAGACAGACUGCAUAAUAAAGUUCUUUAUCACAUGGGCAAUAUAAAGUGACGUUCGCACUAAGAGGACACGCAUCCAAACCUCAAAAGCGCAUGACAACCUCUGCUUCCCUCUGUGAAGGGCCUAUCUUGUACCUUUACUUUUUGCCCUUGAAAGAGUCAUGGUGAUCUUCACCAAUUCCUUAUUUCGCCUUUAUCUUGGCUACCGUCAUAUGCUUGGGAAAGAUCUAUAUUCAUAUGUCAACUUGGAGGUAGGCAUUCAUGAAUUAUUAUUGUUGACAUUGCCCUUGAGGUAAGCAGUUGGGAGGCAAAACUAUAAGCCCCUAUCUUUCUCUGUGUCCAGCUGAAACUUUGAUCUCAUGAGUACCACGUGAUUUGUAGCAAUUGUAGAGAACGAAAGAAUGAUUGAGUAUGUGGAUUUGCUUUACAAGCUCUUAUUUGACUCUUUCUGAUGUUGUGAUAAAUUGCAAUUGCUUCAAUGACUAAAGGCUAUCGGUUGUUACUUCUCGGUAAGGUUCUUGAUCCAUGCUUUACUUUGUGAAGGAAUUGUCACUUUAGCAUGAGAGAUUAUAUGUUGGUAUUGUUGUUCUGAUCAUAAUCAUGAUGCAUGCAUGUUCGUAUCUUGUUUUGUCGAAACCUCUCUCCCUAAACAUGUGGACAUAUUUAUUGAGCCAAGCUUUCGCUUGAGGACAAGCGAGGUCUAGGCUUGGGGGAGUUGAUACGUCCAUUUUGCAUCAUGUUUUCAUUUGAUAUUUAUUGCUUCUUGGGCUAUUAUUUCACUUCACGGUACAAUUCUUAUGCCUUUUCUCUCUUAUUUUGCAAGGUUUACAUGAAGAGGGAGAAUACCGACAACUGGAAUUCUGGCCUGAAAGUGGAGCAAGUUUGAGAUACCUAUUCUGCGCAACUUCAAACGCCGUAAAAAUCAACGAGGAUUUUUUCCCGAUUUAUCAAAAAUACUGGGCCGAAGAAGCACCAGAGGGGCGCCAGGGGGUGGCCACAAGCCUGCACGGCGCGACCACCCCCCAGGCCGCGCCAUGGGGGCUUGUGGGCACCCUGCUGGCCCACUUGCCCCCUCUUUUGCUAUAUGGAGGGUUUUGUCCAGGAAAAAAUCAGAGAGGAGCCUUUUCGUGGUUUCGCCGCCGCCACGAGGCAGAACUUGAGAAGAACCACUCUAGAGCUCCUGCAGGACGAUCCUGCCGGGGAAACUUCCCUCCUGGAGGGGGAAAUCGUCGCCAUCGUCAUCACCAACACUCCUCUCAUCGGAGGGGACUCGUCACCAUCAACAUCUUCAUCAGCACCAUCUCAUCUCCAAACCCUAGUUCAUCACUUGUAACCAAUCUCCGUCUCGCAACUCCGAUUGGUACUUGUAAGGUUGCUAGUAGUGUUGAUUACUCUUUGUAGUUGAUGCUAGUUGGAUUAUUUGGUGGAAGAGUUUAUGUUCAAAUCCUUGAUGCUACUCAUUACCUCUCUGGUCAUGAAUAUGAUUAUGCUUUGUGAGUAGUUACUUUUGUUCCUGAGGACAUGGGAUAAGUCAUGCUAAUAGUAGUCAUGUGAAUUUGGUAUUCGUUCGGUAAUUUGAUGUGUUGUAUGUUUUUUUCCUCUAGUGGUGUUAUGUGAAUGUCGACUACAUAACACAUCACCAUUAUUUGGGCCUAGAGGAAGGCAUUGGGAAGUAGUAAGUAGAUGAUGGGUUGCUAGAGUGACAAAAGCUUAAACCCUACUUUAUGCGUUACUUCGUAAGGGGCUGAUUUGGAUCCACUAGUUUAAUGCGAUGGUUAGACUUUGUCUUAAUUCUUCUUUCGUAGUUGCGGAUGCUUGCGAGAGGGGUUAAUCAUAAGUGGGAUGCUUGUCCAAGUAAGGGCAGUACCCAAGCGCCGGUCCACCGACAUAUCAAACUAUCAAAGUAACGAACGUGAAUCAUAUGAACAUGAUGAAAACUAUCAUGACAGAAAUUCCCAUGUGUCCUUGGGAGCGUUUCUCCUCCUAUAAGACUUUGUCCAGGCUUGUCCCUUCCUACAAAAGGGAUUGGGACACUUUGCUGCACCGUUGCUACUUUUGUUACUUGUUGCUUGCUACGAAUCAUCUCACCACACAAUCACUUGUUACCGACAAUUUGAGUGCUUGCAGAUUUUUCCUAGCUGAAAACCACUUGUCAGAUCCUUCUGCUCCUCGUUGGGUUCGACACUCUUACUUAUCGAAAGGACUACGAUUGAUCCCCUAUACUUGUGGGUCAUCAAUCAACGAUAGGGAAUCACGGUGACGUGGCAUCAUUAGCGUGUGAUCACUGUAGCUUAAUUACAAUCAUCACUGUAGCAAAAGUUGAGGAUGUCACAAUUGCCAUAACAGCCCUAGCGUCAUCGAAUCUUAAGUGUGUAGACCCUACGGGUUCGGGAACCAUGCAGACAUGACCGAGGCAUCUCUCUGGCCAAUAACCAAAAGCGGGGUCUGUAUAUCCAUGUUGGUUCCCACAUGUUCCACGAUGAUCUCAUCAGAUGAACUACGAUGUCGGGGAUUCAAUCAAUCCCGUAUGCAAUUCCCUUUGUCUACCGGUAUGAUACUUGCCCGAGAUUCGAUCGUCGGUAUCCCUAUACCUUGCUCAAUCUCGUUGCCGGCAAGUCUCUUUACUCGUUCUGUAACACAUCAUCCCGUGGCUAACUCCUUUGUCAUAUUGAGCUCAUUAUGAUGAUGGAUUACCGACUGGGCCCAAAGAUACCUCUCCAUUACACGGAGUGACAAAUCCCAGUCUCGAUUCGUACAAACCCAACAGACACUUUCGGAGAUACCUGUAGUGCACCUUUAUAAUCACUUAGUUACGUUGUGACGUUUGGUACACCAAAAGCACUCCUACGGUAUCUGGGAGUUGCACAAUCUCAUGGUCUAAGGAAAUGAUACUUGACAUUAGAAAAGCUUUAGCAGACGAACAAUACGAUCUAGUGUUAUGCUUAGGAUUGGGUCUUGUCCAUGAAAUCAUUCCCCAAUGAUGUGAUCCCGUUAUCAAUGACAACCAAUGUCCAUGAUCAGGAAACCAUGAUCAUCUAUUGAUCAACGAGCUAGCCAACUAGAUGCUCACUGGGGACAUGUUGUGGUCUAUAUAUUCACACAUGUAUUACGGUUUCCGGUUAAUACAAUUAUAGCAUGAACAAGGAAAUAUAAUAAUAACCAAUUUAUCAUUGCCUCUAGGGCAUAUUUGCAACAUUUUGUGGUUGUUUCUUGGGUAAUAGGUAAGAAAAAUAAAUCUAAUUUAGGGAUAACUGCAAAUUCUCAUCGAGCAACCUAAAAACUGAUACCACUUGAUACAAACGAGGCCCCCGAUCUUUCUAUGAGAUGGUGGCUAUCGAUUUGGUGGAGACGACUUUGACGAUCUGACUACAAACGUGCACGACGUUGCGCCUUAGCAAUCACUAAACCAAUCUCCAAGAGGUUAUUGACCACACUGGAGCACGUUCAACCUGACCACGAAGGUCUAUUCCUUCAAUAAAUCAAAGAACAAGCAAGAAUAUAAUAUUGCAAUCUGAAUAAUUGCGAAUAUAGAUGAAGUAUUGAUAAGGGUGGGCAUCCGAAAGAGGUCUUAGUUUGGUCGUUGGACACAAACAAAGUACCCGAAGUUACAAUGGCUAACUUUUAACUAAACAAAUCCCAAGCAAGAAGCUACUAGGUUGAUCUACUUAUAUAGGAGAAAAGGGUGGCGGCCAAGGAGGUGGGAGGACAUCCCAAGGUAGCCUAAAACUAAUCCUAGGUCGUACAAGGCCUAUGGGCCCAAGUGGAGAUGGUGCAACACCUUUGGACUUGUUGUUUGAUUCAGAUUCUUUUUUUAGAUAAGAAGGGUCAUCCCCCGGCCUCUCCAUCAAUCGAUGGUUUGACUCGGAUUCUGGUGCAACGUCAUAUUUUUUGGUCGAUAUCUCCACGCUCCGGACGAAUUUAAAGGUUAAUCCAAUUGGGCUGGAAUGUACAUAAAAUAUACUUUUCAACCCAAAAAUAAUCACCCAAUUCGGAGUCCGGAUGUAAAAGUUAUUUGCGUUCUGGUACAAGUAUGUGUGUGUAGUCUGAAUCUGAGUCCAGAACGUGAAAGACUUGGACUCUAUCUUCUCUUGGGCUAAAAGUGACGUGAGAAAACUUCUUGAAUGACAACUAAUUAUUUACUUUGACAUGACAUGACCUAUUGAAUAGCACCCAACCAUUUACUCUUCCCUUGUUAUCACACGUGGUUCAUACAAGUGUUCGACCAUUCUGCAUUUAGACAUAAAAUAAAAACAAGUGAAGUAUUUUUGUUCCGCGUAACAUAAAUAAAUUAUUGCAUGAAUUUUAUUAGAAAUCACCUCAAAUAAACACGCAUAUGCAAUAAUUGUGAUAAUAUCCAAGGUAGUUAUGUCCACAUUACGUUUCAUGACCCGUCUCCCCGUAGAUAGUACUCAAUGAGGGCGCAUGACUUCAGAGGGGUCAUUUGGCAUAGGGGUGACGAGGCAGGGGUGGGAGUGUUUUGUUUUUGAAUUUUCACCGAGGGUUGAAGAGUUUCCCCGACGUGGUCCUGUUUUUUGAAUUACAUCGAGGUUUAGAGAGAGUGAUGGGUGGGAGUGUUGAAGCCCGGCGUGGCGUAUGAUCUUGAUUUUUCUACGGGAUAUGUGCUUGCGCGAGAUCCUGGUUAACAAACAUAUUCCAUUGCACAAGAGGUAGUCGGAGUUGCCACAUGCACUCUCCGCCAUGGGGUGGAUUGGUUUCUCCUGGUCCGAGCCCUUGGCAUCGAUCUUCUCCUAGUCGAUGUCAUCAUCCUCUUUGUCCAUUGAUUCUUCCUUCGCGGUGGAUGAAGCAGUGGAAGACUCCCACGCACACGACAUGUGGUCGGUCUAGAGAGGCAUGGUGUCUUUGCAUUGAUGGCGAUUGGAUUCAGAGGUCCUCCCAGAUCUCAUGCCACGACGUGGUAGUAGAUGGUUAGAGAGGUAUACACCGAGCAGACACCACUCCUAGCUUCGCUCCUUCUCCUCCUACGUGUUCUUCUUGCCCAUCAGAGUGGUCGGUGACAAUGUGGUGAGUGGCCAUUUGUGGCUAGUGUUUUGGCAGGGAAAUGAAGCGAAAGUGAGAGAGGUGAGGGGGCUGUCGGAUCGACAUGACGAACAUCUUGACUCCCUGAUAACCCACAGGUGUAGGGGAUCGCAAUAGUUUUCGAGGGUAGAGUAUUCAACCCAAAUUUGUUGGUUCGCACAAGGGGAAGCGAAAGAAUAUUCUCAAGUAUUAGCAGCUGAGUUUAUCAGAUUCAACCACACCUGAAAGAUUAGUGUCUACAAGCAAAGUAUCAGUAGCAAAGUAGUAUGAUAGCAACGGUGCUAGAAAUGAUCUGUUGACGGCAGACUAUUCCUAACUGUUGUAUCAAUGGUGCCAGUAGGUUGCACGUGGACGGGAAAUAUUCGUCCCCAGCAACGUUGUCGGAAAAGGUCUUGCAACAAGUAACAACGAAGUAGCAAGGAACAUCAGUAGCAGCAGCAGCAAAGUAACAGCAGUAGCAACAGUAGUAGCAAAGUGGCCAAAUCCCUUUUGUAGCAAGGGACAAGCCUAGACAAAGUAACGUAGAGAGGACCAGUAGUAAAAGACUCGUAUGCAGUGGAUGGUGAUGGAUGAGUAUGACGGAUGUGAUUCAUCAUGUAACAGCUAUAACACGGAGAGAUAAGUAACUAGGUCUCGUUCGUCAAUCUAAUGUAGGCAUGUAUUCCGUAUGUAGUCAUACGUGCUUAGGGAAAAGAACUUGCAUGACAUCUAUUGUCCAUCCCUCCCGUGGCAGUGGGGUCCUAAUGGAAACUACGGGAUAUUAAGGUUCUCCGUUUAAUAAAGAACCGGACCAACGCAUUAACACGCGGUGAAUACAUGAACUCCUCAUACUAUGGUCAUCUCCGGGAGUGGUUCCGGCUAUUGUCACUCCGGGGUUGCCGAGUCAUAACACAUAGUAGGUGACUACAACUUGCAAGAUAGGAUCUAAAACACACAUAUAUUGGCAACAACAUAAUAGGUUCAGAUCUGAAAUCAUGUCACUCGGGCCCUAGUGAAAAGCAUUAAGCAUAGCCAAGUAGUAGCAACAUCAAUCUAGAACAUAGUGGAUACUAGGGAUCAAUCCCCGUCAAGAACUAACUCGAUUACAUGAUAGAUCUCAUCCAACUCAUCACCGUCCAGCAAGACUACGGUGAGAUUACUCAAGAACGGUGAAGAGCAUCAUGGAAUUGUCGAUGGAGGAAGUUUGAUGAUGACGAUGGCGACGAUUUCCCCUCUCCCGAGCCCGGAACGGACUCUAGAUCUGCCCUCCAGAUGAAGAACAGGAUGUGGCGGCGCCUCCGUAUCGCAAAAUGCGAUGAAAUCUUCUCUCUGAUUUUUUUUCCGGGCGAAAGGAAGAUAUAGAGCCGACUUUGGGGGCGGUGGAGCCACGUGGGCCCCACAAGCCCUCACGACGCGGCCAUGGGGGGUGGCCGCGGCCUGUGGGCUUGUGGCCCACUGGUCCACCUCCUCUAGUGGAUCUUUGCGCAGUUAUUUUUCUUUUAUUCCAGAAAAAAUAUCCGUAAAUUUUCAGGACGUUCCGAGAACUUCUAUUUCUGCACAAAAACAACACCAUGGCAAUUCUGCUGAAAACAGCGUCAGUCCGGGUUAGUUUCAUUCAAAUCAUGCAAGUUAGAGUCCAAAACAAGGGCAAAAGAGUUCGGAAAAGUAGAUACGACGGAGACGUAUCAACUCCCCCAAGCUUAAAGCCUUGCUUGUCCUCAAGCAAUUCAGUUGACAAACUGAAAGAGACAAAAGAAAAACUUUGACGAACUCUGUUUGAUCUUGUUGUUGUAACUAUGUCUAACUCACAACUAGAAUUUCAGCAAGAUCACAAGCAAACCACAUAAGCAAAUGACAUCUAGGUCUCACGGUAAACUCAUAUCAAUGGCAUAAUCAGCUAGCGAGCAAAUAAUAAUAAGUCUCAAACGUCAACACUUCAAUCAAAACAACAUGAAGCAGUACAAAUAGAUAGUAUCUCGCUAGCUCUUUCUGAGAACGCAAAACAUAAAUGCAGAGCACCUUCAAAGACCAAGGGCUGACUAAACAUUGUAAUUCAUGGCAAUGAAGAUCCAGUCACAGUCACACUCAACACAGUUAAAAGCAAAGCAUAAAAACGACAGAGGUGCUCUCUAAUUGGUGCUUUUAUAAGAGGAGGAUGACUCAAUAGGAACAUAAAUAGAAAGGCCCUUCACAGAGGGAAGCAUUGAUUUGCAGAGGUGCCAGAGCUCAAGCUUUUAAAACAGAGAUAAUAAUAUUGGGUGGCAUGCUUUCAUUGUCAACGCAAUGACUAAGAGUUCUCAACAUCUUCCACGUUACACAUGCUACAGGCGGUUCCCAAACAGAAAAGUAAAGUUUUGAUUCCCCCACCACCAAUCAAUCACACUCCAUGGCUAGCCGAAUCCUCGGGUACCGUCCAUACCAACAUCAAUCCUGGGGGAGUUUUUUUUGCAAUUAUCUUUUCGAUUUGAGCAUGGAACUGGGAAUUCCAAUUACCGGCCCCUUUCUCGUGAAUGAUAGUGAAUAAACACAUAUCGAGGAUAACACGCCUAGCAUGGAAGAUACCAAUAGCCCCCUGUCACCACAUGAGCGGUUCGGGCAUGCAAAACCGAUUAUUUCUUGAAGAUUUAGAGAGUGGCACAUGCAAAUUUACUUGGAACGGCAGGUAGAUACCGCACAUAGGUAGGUAUUGUGGACUCAUAUGGCACAACUUUGGGUUUAUGGAAGUGGAUGCACAAGCAGUAUUCCCACUUAGUACAAGUGAAGGCUAGCAAAAGACUGGGAAGCGACCAACUAGAGAGCAACAACGGUCAUCAAAAUGCAUUGAGAUUAACUAACAUUGAGUGCAAGCAUGAGUAGGACAUAAAUCACCAUGAACAUGAAUAUCAUAGAGGCUAUGUUGAUUUUGUUUCAACUACAUGCGUGAACAUGCGCCAAGUCAAGCCACUUGAAUCAUUCAAAGGAGGAUACCAUCCUAUCGUACUACAUCAUAGUCAUCUCAACAUUCAUGUGGGCAACCAAGACAAACCAUUAUAAGCUCCUAGUUAAGUAAGCAUGGCAUAAGCAACUAUGAUCUCUAAGUUGUCAUUGCAAACAUGUUUCUCUCACAACAAAGCUGAAUCAGGCAUGAUGACCUAGUCAUAUUUAUAAAAACAAAAUAGAUCGAGUUCAUACCAGCUUUUCCAGGCUCAGCCACUUCAUCAUAUAUCGUCAUUAUUGCCUUUCACUUGCACGACCGAACGAUGUGAACAAUAAUAAGAGUGCUCGUGCAUUGUACUAAAGCUGGAAUCUGCAGGCAAACACAAAGGAGAAGACAAAGUAAUAUGGCUCUUUGAAAGCUAAACAGGUAUGCAUGCAAGAGCCACUGAACAUUGUAACCAAUAUCUUCUACCUUUACCCAAAGAAAAAGAAAACUAUUUACACGGGAAAGCUCCCAACAAGCAAAAGAAGAGAAGAAAAUCUUUGUGGGUUUUCUCAAACUAAACAGACACACUAAACGAAAACGAGAAAAAGAAAAUAAACUAACAUGGAUGAUACAGUGGCAAAGUGUGAACACCGGCUAACAAAGUGACAGCAUAAGCAAGAAUGUAAAGUCGGUGAGAACACGUACUCCCCCAAGCUUAGGCUUUUGGCCUAAGUUGGUCUACUCCCAAGGAGGGAAAUAACCAGCUUCGGAUACUCCGGAGUGGACUGAGGAUGCCACUGCUGUGUGAGCUCCUUUGGCUCCCACUGAUAAACCGACGUCUGGUACUCGACUGUUGGCUCGGGCACGGGCACCUGUGGUUGGGCUAGGCCCCAAUAUGCGUAGAUGUCCGAGGGUAUAAUAGUGUACCUGCCUUCAUGAAGAUUGAACAAAGAAGGAGCAGGCAAAGUAAUAGUCUCACGAGUACCCUGACUAAAUACCAGGUUAUAAAUCAUCCUUCUAUUUAUAUCUCUAUCAAGAAAGUCAUGGCGAACCAUGCUAUCGUAAUCUAGAUAUCUCUCGGGAAGAAGAACCUCUUCUUCCUCAUCCAGUCUAAUGGGUAUCUCAAAGUGUCUGGCAAGACGGGUAGCAUAGAUACCUCCAUAUACGACACCUUUAGAACGGUUCAGGUUCAACUGUUGAGCUACUAUAGCGCCCAAGCUAUAAGUUUGAUCGUUAUAAAGGGCUUCGCGCAAGACCGCAAGAUCUGGGGAACUAAGUGACCCAGAUUUCCCACGACCAAUCAAACAUUUCCCACAAAUAGUGAGAAGUACCGAAGCACGGGAAAAUGAAUGCUAGUAGCUCUAGGGCAAGACACUCCUCUCUCCUCUCCUACAACAAUAGUACCGAUGAAAGCUUCCAAGUCCCGUGGACGAGGUUCAUGAAUAUCCCCAACAAAAGGCAAUUUGCAAACAUUGCAAAAAUCCUGGAGUGACAUGCGCUGGGGGAUAUCAUAAAGUUUGAACUCAACCAUAGGAGGAUUCUUCCUCGGAUAGAAGUUAAAGCUUUGUGCGAAGAUAUUACCGAGGAGGAGGUAUUGAGGACACUCAUCUUCAACGAAGGCGGUAAGGCCUGCGUUUUCCACCAAGUGAUAAGUCCUCAUAAAUUCCAGCGGUGCGUAAGAACACGUCGCUUGGCCACUCGCACGCUCAAACUUCUGCGACUCGAGGGCCCUGAUACUUGGGCUUAUUCUCACUCCCAUCAUCCUUGGGGUCACGGCUUGAAGAGCCUCUUAAGAACCUCCUCAUCUUUUCCCUUUUCUAUCUCUGAAAAUUUCUGAAAUUUUUAGUGACUCUAAGGAAAAGUGAAUAAGGGUCAAUGAAACUCGUAGCAACUACUCACACAAGUGCCUAGAGGCCAUAUUACGCAUCAAAAUUACUUGGGACCAGCUAAAAUCAGCAUGCAAAGCUCAAGAACAUGGUCACCAAGGCAGCAAAAAUACACGAAGUAUAAGGCACUAGAGAAAAAACUAAUUGGACCAAUGGAGGAGUCACUUACCAAGGAGUAAUUUCCCCAAAACAGUUCGGAGAACGGUGAUUUGAGCAAAGAGAUCAAAAAUCCCAGCAAGAGGAGCAAGAACACGGGUUUGAGCUGCGAAACGAUUUUUUCUGGAGGAAGGAGAAGGAGAUAAGAGCAAGAAGGAGUGGAGGGGGUGCCUGUGGGCCCCACAAGCCUGGGUGGCGCAGCCAGGGGGGUGCCCGCGCCCCUAGGGCUUGUGGCCCACUGGUGUGGCCCCCAGACAGACUCUUUGUCCCAGUAUUUCUCAAAAAAUCCGGAAAAAAUCAUACUUGAUUUUCACGGCGUUCGGAGAACUUUUAUUUUCGGGGUACUUUUCUACCGGACGCGAAAACAGAAAACAGGGAAAACUAAACUAAACCUAUCAUUUUUCUUCUAAGCAACCUAAAGUGAAUGCUUGGAAGAGAGGUUCGCGACUCCUCGAUUCAUCCAUCUCAUGGUCAUCGAAAGAAAUCCGUCAAUGGGGUUGAUCAAAUCCCCUCGACAAAACUUUCUCGAAUCGCAAAAGAGAACGGAGAAUUUUCGAACAGUCACUAGGUCACCUCAAUGGGGAUGUGAAUCUCCCCAACAAGCAAAUCAUACUUCAUCUUGACACAAGGAAUAGGGCAUUCAAAGCUCCCAAUGAGAAUCGAUGAAGUUUUUUCGAUAGCAUUGAUGCAAUGUACUCGAUAUUGUUUCUUCGAAAAUUGUACCGUAUGAUCAUUACUGUUGACAUGGAAAGUGACAUUGCCUUUGUUGCAAUCUAUAACAACCCCUCGGUGUUUAAAAAGGGUCUUCCGAGGAUGACGGACAUGGCAUCGUCCUCGAGAAUAUCCAAGAUAACAAAGUCUGUUAAGAUAGUGGUGUUAGCAACCACAAUAGGCACAUCCUCGCAAAUGCCGAUAGGGAAGGCAGUUGAUUUGUCGGACAUUUGCAGAGAGAUUUGAGUGGGUGUCAACUUAUCCAGUUCAAGUCUACGAUAAAGAGAGAGAGGCAUAACACUAACACCGGCUCCAAGAUCGCAUAAAGCAGUUCUAACGUAGUUACCUUUAAUGGAGCAAGGUAUAGUGGGCACACCGGGAUCACCUAGUUUCUUAGGAGUUCCACCCUUGAAGGUAUAAUUAGCAAGCAUGGUGGAAAUAUCAACCUCAGGUAUCCUCCUAUUAUUAGUCACAAUAUCUUUCAUGUACUUAGCAUACGGAGACAUCUUGAGCAUAUCUGUCAAACGCAUUUGCAGAAAGACAGGUCUGAUCAUUUCAAUGAAUUGCUCAAAAUCCUCAUCAUCCUUUCUCUUGGAUGGUUUGGGAGGAAAGGGCAUGGGUUUCUGAACCCAUGGUUCCCUUUCUUUACCAUGCUUCCUAGCAGCGAAGUUAUUCUUAUCGUAUCUCUUAGUCUUAGGCUGUGGGUUAUCAAGAUCAACACUAGGUUCAAUCUCCACAUCCUUUUCAUUGCUAGGUUGAGCAUCAUCAUGAACAUCACUAUUGAUAUUAUCAUUAGGCUCAUGUUCAUCACCAAAUUGUGUUUCAGCAUCAGAGACAGAGACAUCCUUUGGACUCUUAGGGGUAGCAGCAACAGGGUUGCUAGCGUGCAGGUUCCUAUCAUCUUUCUUCUUCUUCCUAGGAUGACUAGGUGCAUCAGUGCUAAUUCCUUGGGAAUCUUGUUCAAUUCUCUUCGGAUGACCCUCAGGAUACAGAGGUUCCUAGGUCAUUCUACCGCCUCUAGUAACGACAAUACAAAAUUGUCAUUCAACUUGUUAAGCAAGUCAUUUUGAGCUUUGAGUACUUGUUCUACCUGAGUAGUAACCAUAGAGGCAUGCUUACUCAGAAGCUUAAGAUCAUUGACGUUUCUGUCCACACAAGCACUUAAAUGACUAAGCAUACGAGCAUUCUGUUCCAAUUGUCUGCUAACAUAAUCAUUGAAACUUUGUUGUUUGGCAAUGAAGUUAUCAAAUUCAUCCAUGCAUAAGCUAGCGGGUUUAUCAAAAGGAAUAUCACUCUCAUCAAACCUACGCAGAGAAUUUACUUCUACUACCCGUAUCGGGUUAUCGAGACCAUGGAUCUCUUCGAUAGGUGGUAGAUUUUUGACAUCUUCAGAUUUAAUGCCUUUCUCUCGCAUAGAUUUCUUGGCUUCUUGCAUAUCUUCAGGACUGAGGAAUAGAAUACCUCUUUUCUUCGGAGUUGGCUUAGGAGGUGGUUCGGGAAUAGUCCAAGCAUUCUCAUUGCACAAGAUGUUAUUCAGCAGAAUCUCAGCUUGUUCUACGGUUCGUUCCCUAAAAAGACAACCGGCACAACUAUCUAGGUGGUCAUUGGAAGCAUCGAUAAGUUCAUUAUAGAAGAUAUCAAGUAUUUCAUUCUUCUCAAGAGGGUGAUCAGGCAAAGCAUUCAGUAGCUGGAUGAGCCUCCCCCAAGCUUGUGGGAGACUCUCUUCUUCAGCUUGAGCAAAGUUGUAUAUUUCCUGCAAGGCAUCUUGCUUCUUAUGGGCAGGGAAAUAUUUUUCAGAGAAGUAGUAGACCAUAUCCUGGGGGCUAUGCACACAACCAGGAGCAAGAGUAGUGAACCAAGUCUUAGCAUCAUCCUUUAGUGAGAAAGGAAAUAGCUUGAGCAUAUAGUAGUGGUGGAUCUUUUCCUCACUAGUGAAUAGGGUGGCUAUAUCGUGCAAUUUGGUAAGAUGGGCUACAACCGUUUCAGACUCAUAACCGUGAAAAGGAUUAGAUUCGACCAUAGUGAUUAACUCAGGGUCGAUAGAGAAUUCAUAAUCCUUAUCGGUCACAAAGAUAGGCGAAGUAGCAAACUUCGGGUCGUAUUUCAUCCUAGCGUUCAGAGAUUUUUCUUUCCACUUGAGCAGUAGUUUCUCAACAUCAUAACUAUCCUUACACGCAAGAAAGUCCUCAGCUAUCUCUCCCUCCAUAACAUAGCGCGUAUCAGGCAUAGUAGCAGGUUCUACUUCAAUAGUAUCAGCAAUUUCAGAAGUAUCAUCACAUCUAGCAGCAACUCUAGCAAUAUGUGCAUCAAGGAAUGCACCUAGUGGCAAAGCAGUAUCAAGCAUAGCAUCNNNNNNNNNNNNNNNNNNNNNNNNNNNNNNNNNNNNNNNNNNNNNNNNNNNNNNNNNNNNNNNNNNNNNNNNNNNNNNNNNNNNNNNNNNNNNNNNNNNNNNNNNNNNNNNNNNNNNNNNNNNNNNNNNNNNNNNNNNNNNNNNNNNNNNNNNNNNNNNNNNNNNNNNNNNNNNNNNNNNNNNNNNNNNNNNNNNNNNNNNNNNNNNNNNNNNNNNNNNNNNNNNNNNNNNNNNNNNNNNNNNNNNNNNNNNNNNNNNNNNNNNNNNNNNNNNNNNNNNNNNNNNNNNNNNNNNNNNNNNNNNNNNNNNNNNNNNNNNNNNNNNNNNNNNNNNNNNNNNNNNNNNNNNNNNNNNNNNNNNNNNNNNNNNNNNNNNNNNNNNNNNNNNNUCAAGCAUAGCAUCAUCAUAAGCAUCAUGGGCAGUAGAAGUAGCAUCAUCAAGCACAUGCGACAUAUCAAGAUUUCUAGCAGGAGGUGAUGUCGCAAACUUACUCAUAACUGAAGGUGAAUCAAGUGCAGAGCUAGAUGGCAGUUUCUUACCUCUCCUCGUAGUGGAAGGUAGGAUUUUAGUUCUUGGAUCUUUCGGAUUCCUCAUCGUGAUCAGCAGACGUCAAUCCCAAGUGACUCAGAGAAUAUAGCUGUGCUUCCCCGGCAACGGCGCCAGAAAAAGCCUUGAUAACCAACAUGUGUAGGGGAUCGCAACAGUUUUCAAGGGUAGAGUAUUCAACCCAAAUUUGUUGGUUCGCACAAGGGGAAGCGAAAUAAUAUUCUCAAGUAUUAGCAGCUGAGUUUGUCAGAUUCAACCACACAUGAAAGAUUAGUGUCUGCAAGCAAAGUAUCAGUAGCAAAGUAGUGUGAUAGCAACGAUGCCAAAAAAGAUCUGUUGACGGCAGACUAUUCCUAACUGUUGUAUCAAUGGCGCCAGUAGGUUGCACGUGGACGGGAAAUAUUCUUCCUCGGCAACGGUGUCGGAAAAGGUCUUGCAACAAGUAACAAUGAAGUAGCAAGGAACAACAGUAGCAACAACAACAAAGUAACAACAGUAGCAAUAGUAGUAGCAAAGUGGCCCAAUCCCUUUUGUAGCAAGGGACAAGCCUAGACAAAGUAACGUAGCGAGGACCAGUAGUAAAAGACUCGUAGGCAGUGGAUCGGUGAUGGAUGAGUAUGACGGAUGUGAUUCAUCAUGUAACAGCUAUAACACUGAGAGAUACGUAACUAGCUCCCGUUCGUCAAUCUAAUAUAGGCAUGUAUUCCGUAUGUAGUCAUACGUGCUUAGGGAAAAGAACUUGCAUGACAUCUAUUGUCCAUCCCUCCCGUGGCAGCGGGGUCCUAAUGGAAACUACAGGAUAUUAAGGUUCUUCUUUUAAUAAAGAACCGGACCAACGCAUUAACACGCGGUGAAUACAUGAACUCCUCAUACUAUGGUCAUCUCCGGGAGUGGUUCCGGCUAUGCUCACUCCAGGGUUGCCGGGUCAUAACACAUAGCAGGUGACUACAACUUGCAAGAUAGGAUCUAAAACACACAUAUGUUGGCGACAACAUAAUAGGUUCAGAUCUGAAAUCAUGGCACUCGGGCCCUAGUGACAAGCAUUAAGCAUAGCCAAGUAGUAGCAACAUCGAUCUAGAACAUAGUGGAUNNNNNNNNNNNNNNNNNNNNNNNNNNNNNNNNNNNNNNNNNNNNNNNNNNNNNNNNNNNNNNNNNNNNNNNNNNNNNNNNNNNNNNNNNNNNNNNNNNNNNNNNNNNNNNNNNNNNNNNNNNNNNNNNNNNNNNNNNNNNNNNNNNNNNNNNNNNNNNNNNNNNNNNNNNNNNNNNNNNNNNNNNNNNNNNNNNNNNNNNNNNNNNNNNNNNNNNNNNNNNNNNNNNNNNNNNNNNNNNNNNNNNNNNNNNNNNNNNNNNNNNNNNNNNNNNNNNNNNNNNNNNNNNNAUCUAGAACAUAGUGGAUACUAGGGAUCAAUCCCCGUCAAGAACUAACUCGAUUACAUGAUAGAUCUCAUCCAACUCAUCACCGUCCAGCAAGCCUACGAUGAGAUUACUCACAAACGGUGAAGAGCAUCAUGGAAUUGUCGAUGGAGGAAGGUUGAUGAUGACGAUGGUGACGAUUUCCCCUCUCCGGAGCCCAGAACGGACUCCAGAUCUGCCCUCCAGAUGAAGAACAUGAUGUGGUGGCGCCUCCGUAUCGCAAAACGCGAUGAAACCUUCUCUCUGAUUUUUUUCCGGGCGAAACAGAAGAUAUAGAGCUGAGUUUGGGGGCGAUGGAGCCACGUGGGCCCCACAAGUUCUCACGGCGCGGCCAGGGGGGUGGUCGCGGCCUAUGGGCUUGUGGCCCACUGGUCCACCUCCUCCGGUGGAUCUUUGCGCAGAUAUUUUUCUUUUAUUCCAGAAAAAAUCUCCGUAAAUUUUCAGGACGUUCCGAGAACUUUUAUUUCUGCAAAUAAAACACCAUGGCAAUUCUGCUGAAAACAGCGUCCGUCCGGGUUAGUUUCAUUCAAAUCAUGCAAGUUAGAGUCCAAAACAAGGGCAAAAGAGUUCAGAAAAGUAGAUACGACGGAGACGUAUCACUCCCCUACUCCACCCCUCGAUUGGGGGGUUGAGCAAGGGAAUUUCUACCUUUAGACCACUUCCAUCCAACAUUAAAGGGCGGAGUAGGGUCCGCGUUGAAAAUCCCCUCAAAUGGGUUGAUGAGUGGAUAUAUUCAAAUGCAACUGUAGUUCAAAUUUAAAUAUUACAAUCCAGUGAAGUUUUGAAAUAAAAUAGUUUAAACAUGAAUUCAACCUGCACAUAUGUUUUUGUUGCCCCUUUCACCGCCCACAUAUGUUGGAUCAAAGCUUCAUUGAGCCGCUCAUGAGUUGCUCAAUGCCGAAUUUGAACAAACUAAUCAAACAUGCUCGGAUUCUAAUGUGGAAGUUGAACAGGAUCACUCAUGUUCUCAAAUUUCAUACCUUCGCCAACAUAUUGAUAUGUCUCAAACGCAACUAUAAUUUUUUAUUGUUUCAGUUUAUUACAAUAUCACUUUUGAAUACUUCUUAUAGCAUUUUUCUAAUUUUUUUCUGAACUAAGCUAUGAACUCGGUGCCAAGAGCAUGUUGCUGCUGUUUUCUGCAUGUUUUAAAAUUUUCAUAAAAUCCAUAUCUACGGAGUUCCAAAACCCCCGAAGACGCUUCAUGAUUUUUUUCCAAGUCCAUAGGAUUCCAGAAAAGUGUCUGGAGAUGCCAAGGGUAACCCGACAGCCCCACGUGGCUAGGUGGCAUGGUCAGGGCCCCACCCGCAUGGGCAGACCGUGUGGGAUGACUAGGCAUUGCCUUACAUCCUUUAGUUUGCCUACAAAUCCCAUAUUUUGAGAAACCCUCACUUCCAUUUUUUCGUGAUUUUUUUCGCCACCAUAAGUUCCUGUUUCGGUGCGAUCCAAUCUGGAGGCAUGUUCCGGUACCCUGAUGUAGGAGGAAUCCAUAAACGGAGCCAUGUUCAUCGACCUUGCUACCACCAUGAUCAUGUGUGAGUAGUUUCUUUAGGAUCUUAGGGUCCAUAGCAGUAGCUAGAUGAGAUCCUCCCUCCCUUGUCAUUUAAUACAAAGUUCCUUGGGCUUCCUCACAUCAUUGAGAUCAAUAUGAUGUAAUCGGUGAUUGUGUUUGUUGAGAUAUGAUGAUUUUUCACUUUAUGAUAAUAUUGUUCAUUGAAUUAUAUUGAAUUCUUUGAAGUUUCUUUGAUGCAUAAUUAAGCACCACAUAUUCUUUCCAAUCUAGUUGUCGUCUCUGACCAAGUUUGAUAAGUAGUUCUUCACAGGGAGUUGUGCAUAGUUUUACUGUCUACAUUAUGUCGUCAUGCUUAUUCUAAUGCUUUAUUUGUCAUGAGUUUAAUACUUCGAGAUGCAUGUUGGAUAGUGGUCUUGGGGUGGAAUAUAGUUGUAAAUGAAGUUCAACAACAGUCUACAUAUCACAUACGUAAUGCAUAUGCAAGAUUAUGUCAUGAAUGAUCAUAAUCAUAAAUAUAAAUAUUACAAUUUAACCACCGCUCAAUUGUAAUUUGUGCACCACAUCACACUUAUCUGCUUGAAUAAAUGUCACUAGUGAACCUAUGACUGCGAGGGUCUAUUUUCCUUUACUUAAAACAUCAUAAAAAUACUUUACUUUGUUGUAUCGUUUUAUUUAUUUUUCCUUUCUACCAAUUCCUACCAUACUAUGAAAAAUACCCUUGUAACUAGUAGGGAAAGAAUCAUGACAACCUUUUUGAAACGGUAGGGGCAAGAUUGUCUUGUGUUUUUUAAGUAGAUACCGGUGACUUUGUUUGUUGGAAUAAUUCAUGGUUUUUAUUCAAUAAACCUUGAUACUCAAUCAAGGGAAAUACUUAUUUCUAUGUUAAUUCACCUUUCAAUUGGGGAUGACCUAACCAUUCUUACGAGAGAGAAAGCACAUCUUCACCCUCAUCCUCCACUAUCAUGUUGCGCAUGAUCACACAACAUGUCAUCACCCCUCACAAGGUCUCCGGAUCCCAUUGUUUAGCAUGUCCACGAACAACUGCAAAACGAGAUUGGAGCAGUCCAGUCCCUCUCAACCUCAUUUCUAGAUCCUUCUUGCCCUUGGGAAAAGAGAGCUCUUUUCUGACCAACUGACUUAGAGAUGGUCUCGACGAAGGCAGCCCAUGGAGGGUAGAUACUACCAACGAGUAGUACAUGUUGUACUAAGGCCCAUUGACAAUAUAGUUUCAAGGAGGAGCUUGUCCUUUAGUCAACCUAGCAAACAAUGGAGAUCGCUGCUGCAUAUUGAUGUCAUUGUGAGACCCAGGCGCAUGCCAAAGAAACUAUGCCAAAUCCAGAGGUCUUGAUGAAACUACUUUAAGAAUGACGAUGUAUUUCUUAACAUGGCCCUCAUAUUGCCCUUGGAGAGCUUUUGGGCAGUUCUUCCAUCUCUAGUGCAUGUAAUCAAGAGAUUCAAGCAUCCCUGGCCAUCCUCUUGCUUCCGAGAGUGCCAUGAGCCUUUCAGUGUCUGUGGUAGUUGGUUAUCUCAAGUACUAAGCUCCAAACAUCUAGACCACCUCAGUAUCAAAUCUGAUCAUGGCAUCUUCGCAUGUGCCGUUAGACAUCCUUCCACGGAUAUGUGGUUGUGCCAAUGUAACCAUGCACUUGGUAACCAGAGAAUUCAAUUCUUCCUACGACAUCCUUCUUCAAGAUGAAGUAGUCAUUGUAGGAUCAGACGCCGUAGGAGAGGCGAAUGAAGACUUUUUUCGCAUAAAAAAAUGUUGACAAAAAUUAUCCGCGGUAGGGCAUCGGGGGCAAAGUAGUCGUCCAUCAUCUAUAGUCGCCCAAGUUUUGAUUUAGCACUCGACGACCCUUGAUUGAUCCCUUGAAAUUAACAUGUUCUUCCGUACGCUCCAUGUGAGCAAGGAUCACCUGCAUCAUUGCCAUUUCAUCCGCACACAAUCCUCCUCGUCAGAUGAAUCAACCUAGUGCUCAUACAUAUACUCCAUGGCCAACUCGUUGCUUCGAAGAAGGGCAACAUUUUUAGCAUGGAUAUUUCACAAAACACUUGCAGGGCAUGGUGACCCCCCCAGAGGCGGGUGAUACAUGUGCCGCGUACGGGCGAGAGGUAUGAAACUUCGACGUAGGCAAAGCGGCAUGACGCCUAGAUGGGGCGAUGGAGGUCGCGGAGGUCCAACAAGGGGUUGACGGGACGCCAUGAUGGUACAACAUUGACAUCAACAAGGAAGGAAGUGAUGCGGAGAAAUAGGGAAGGGAUGGAGAUGCGGGGUCCGAGUGUGGUUUUGGAUGGGCCCGGGGUGUCGGAGUGCUAUGCGGUGGUAGAACGGACUCCUGUAGAGCCCUCCCCCUCCGCUAAUUCUCUUUCAGAUUGCAGGAAGAUGGACAGGUCAACCAAUACGAAACGACGUUGAAUGCUGAACUGUAGGGUGAUUUGAGGGUCCUCUUUGGAGAUGUUCGAAUAACCACACUGCCAAGGAGGUUCGUGGAAUCUGCUACAUCAAUUAAUCUAGAGCCCUGAAAAGGCUUGAUCAAAGAUGAAGUGAUCAUUGUUAGGAUUUUUAGGGUACACUACAAUUGUAGCCAGGGCCGGGCCCACAGUGGUGCCAAAAGUGUGGCCCGCACAGGGCCUAAAAUUUUUGAGGGCCCCAAAAAAUUUAUAUGGGCAUAAUAUUAAAAAUAAUAAAAAUAUAUGUUACUGGGCCUGGUGACGCUAGUGUUGGGCUGGAUACGUGGAGUCGAGGCAAGGAGACCAUUGAUCCCGCGCACUACAACGAUCGCGAUCGGGAUCGGGAUCGUAAUCACACAACUCUGGAAUCAAUCAUGGCUACAUGGAAGGAAUCGUCGCCUCAUCUCGUCGCCCCGUCUCGUCGCAAUCGCCAGGGGAGCGCUGGGGCGGUGGAUCUCCGGGGUCGUCAAGCCGCCGUCGCCGCCGCGGAUCUGCAGGCCGCCCGUCACCGCGUGCAAGGUCAAGCUCAGCGACGGCCGCCACCUCGCCUACGCUGAGUCCAGGGCACACAAGGAGGAUGCACGCUACUGUCUUCUCCCGCAACUUCACCUGCUCCUGCCAUGACACCAUGCGCCCUUGUCAGUCAACCUGCAACCUAGGCAGUAGGAAAGCGGUUUCAGCUUCAGCUGCUGCAUAUUUUGUUCUCAAUGGAUUGGAUUGGUUUGCCGAAUUGGGGAUCAUCCAAUGGAAAAGAUCGCGCUAGCUUUUGUUGGAUGUUUCAAAGAAUAUUGUCCUGUUAUUACUCCACGAAGCAUGAAUAUGCAAUUUGGUUGGUCAUGGAAGCAGAGUAUUCAGAGCAAUCAUUUAUGCUUCGUUGACUGCAUUACAGUGCUUGUAUUUCAGAUUAGUACUGCUGUAUUUUGUUGGAAAAAUCAAUGCAAUUAGUAGUAUUUCAACAGCAUCAUUUUAAAUUUUGAUUAGCUGGUGUCAUGACUAACUGUUGCAAUGACUAAUAUAGGUUCCUAAUUGUUUUAGCUUGACAAAUAUAUACCAUUUGGCCGCCAUUGCCUUCCUCGCCUCCUCUCUCAAAAUUCAGACUCAUCGACGUCGUCUCGUCAAAUUGAUCGGUGACCAACUCCUCCAACAUGCAGGUAUUUAUCGAAUCCUUCUUUACGAUUAACUUCGUUAGUUCAUUAUUUUAUGAGAUAGGGUCAUUUUUCUUGUUUCGCACAGGGCCUCGGAUUUUGCCGGCCCGGCCCUGAUUGUAGCAAUAUUCCCCACUUCAAUUGUAGCAAUAUUCCCUGCUAGGGAAGGAUUAAAAUACUUUUAGGCCCUGUUUGGAUUGCCAUAAGCAGCUCUGUAAGCCAUACAGACCUUCCGUCGUCGUAUUUAUUCCAGGCGGAAAUUAAACUACUUAUAAUUUACAUUGUAAAUAAAUUUCGGGUGUAUAGAUUUACACCGCAUCCAAGCGGGACCUUAGAUGCUGAAGGGAGAAAGCGGUUGUAGGCACGCACGUACACUCUUGGCACAAUAUCAACAGACGGAGCAGCUAAACCAUGCACGCAUGCACACACGCGAGUACACCUUAUGCAUACGUACACGUACAAAUUGUACUAACUAGCUCGAGGACGGCAUACGGACCAGAACGCAGCCGAGCGACACGCACGCGCGUCACCCAUCAGCUGCCCGCGGCCGGCUGGUGCCGGUGCUGCCGCCGCCUCCACGAUGCGACGAUGGCCACGAGCACGAGCAGCACCGCGGCGGCGGCGCCGACGAACGUGCGCACGGGCAUCCCGCUUCGCCGCCUCCCCCUGCCUCUCCUCCUCGGUACGCGCCUCGGUCUCCUCCGUCCGACGGCUUCUUCUCCCGCAGAGUCAGCAUCCUCGCCCGCACUGCUGCUGCAGGUCGACUGGCAGCUGCAGCUUCGAUAUGCGCCGGGAUCCUCGACGUGAACCGCCUCCUCCACCGGCAGCACCGGCCAGUGCUCCGAAGACGCGGACUCUGUCUCGACGUCGCUGUGGCUGUGCUCGACGUGGAGGUGGCGAUGAUGAACCGCCGGCAGAUCAUGCUCCUCCUCCUCCUCCUCCGGCUCGCCGGCCGUGGCGGCUGGCUUUGAUCCCCACGACCGCCUCAUGAUGUUAACUCUAGCUAGCUCUCUCAAAGACAUGGAUGCAUGCUUGGUUAGAUAUGCGCUAAAGACUCCAGGCUCGCGGGGUGUGUGCGUGCAGGUUUGCAUAAACAAAAGAUGUACGGUUGCCUUUGGCGGCACGUAUGCAUCGAUGCUGCCUGUCUGUCUGCCCUUUAGUGGCGGAUAUAGGACACCCCCUGCAAAAUCGACAAAUAAUCUAUACCUAUUAAUAAAAAAACAUAUUUUUGAUCUAUUAUGUUAUUUUACAGAAAAUCCCUCUAAAUCUAUAGUUUAUACUUAUACCUAUACCUACUUCUAUUUAUAUUUAUACUAGCAAAAGGGUCCGUGAAUUGCAACGGAAGAAAAAUAAUUAUAAUCUUCAAGGAUGCUGAUCAUAUUACGUCCUUAAAAUUUUAGGACAUUUCUUGAAAUGCAUGAACAUUUUUUGAAUUAGCAAACAUUUUUUUCAAUUGCACUCAAAAAAUAAUACACAAACUUUUUUCUCAAAAUCAUGGACUUUUAUUGUUUUCACCAACAUUGUUCUCAAAAUUAUGAACAUUUUUCUGAAUAUGGGAAUACUUUUACAAAUAUCCCGAGCAUUUUUUGAAUUCAAAAACAUUUUAUGUUUUCUUCAAAAUUCUCACUUUUAUAAGUUGCAAAAGUUUUUCAAAAGUCGAUAUUAUUUAAAUUUAAAAAAAUGGAACAAAAAACGAAAAUAAAGAAUGAGACUAAAAACAGAGGCACAAACUGUUUUUAAGAUUUUUACACAGACUUUUGUUUAAAAUUAUUGACUUUUUUUCAUUUUACAGACAUUUUCUAAAAAUUUAAACAUUUUUUUGUAUAUGCAAACAUUUUUCAAAACUCCUAAGUAGUUUUUGAAUUCUCAAAAAAAAAUGUUAUUUUAAUAUUUUAUUUCAAAAUUCUCAGUUUCUUAAAUUUAAGAAAAAUUAUUUGAAGUUCUAAAUUAUUUAAAGUAGAAAAAAAGGAACUGAAAAGUAAAAUAAAAAAACUAAACUAAAAGAAGAGGCGGCCACGCAUGGGCCGACCCAAAUAGGUGUCCUGUAUCUUUUUUCAAUGCCCAGAGCGUAAUAUAGGAGGUGCCUACAUGGGUCGGCCCAGUCCGGAGAUUUUACUGUCUGAAACAUUUUCCAUGACUUAUAAGUGGCAAUUGUGAGUAAUUUUUAUCAACUUUAUAGGCAAUGUUAAUGACGGACGAUAGAAGCACUAAUUGCUUUAUUAGUAGGUAAAGAUUAAUUACUAAAUUAUUAUUAUUAUAAAGAAAAUAGAUAUUUUUCAUCCGUCAUGUUAUUUUGUAGAAAUCCCCCUUAAGUUUCUGAUAAUUAACCUGUACAUAUUAAUCGGUUGUUUUUGAAUCCAUAUCCUUUUAACCAUAACUUUAAAUUUAACAUGUUAUAUAUAAAACUUGAUUAAAAAAAUAUGUAGAAUCUGAAUAUGAUAUUAUUUUACCUGUUAACCAUUUAAAAAAUGAUAUUUAAGAUGAAACCUUAAUCAAUAACGCAUGACCUUUCUUUGCUUCAUACUGGUGCCGAUCCGAAUUGAAAAUGAACACUUCGGCAAAACCAAGACGGGGAACUGAUACGUCUCCAUUGUAUCUAUUUUUUCUAACGCUUUUGUUCUUGUUUUAGACUCUAGUUUGCAUGAUUUGAAUGAAACUAACCCGGGCUGACUCUGUUUUCAGCAGAACUACCAUGGUGUUGUUUUUGUGCAAAAAUAAACGUUCUCGGCAUGUGACGAAACUUUUUGAAGAUUUUUUCUGAAAUAAAUGGAAAAUAUUGUAACCAAGACCCACCAUAGGGGAGGCCCUAGACGCCCACUAGGCACGAGGGCGCGCUAGCCCCCCCCCCCCGGCGCGGCCUGUUGUCUAGUGGGGCCCACAGGACUCCGAUGACCCUAAUUUCGAAGCAAUAAAAUCCUACUUUCAGAGAAAAAAAUCAGAGGGGAAGUUUCAUCGAGUUUCACGAUACGGAGCCACCGCCACCUGAUGACGAGAUGAUGUAUAUACUUCUCGCCCCUCGUUGGAUACCCCAAGUGGAUGGUGGAGAUGUAGUGAGCAGCAAAUUUCUCUUACACGGAGACUGUAAGGUUUAUCGAACCAGGAGGACUCCUAGGCUGAACAAGUAGGUGUCUUCCACCCUCGCGCUAGUAGAAGACGUGGACCUGCACACUCAACAAAUAACUUUGCUCCCAACGAGUACAGAGAGGUUGUCAAUCUCUCCGGCCUUGUAGUUUGCAAAGGAUCAAAACACAAGAGGAAAGGUAAUAAUGAUUGCAACGGAAAAGUAAAUGAAAGCGGUAAAUGAUGGAGGUGUAACCGAUGAUGGUGAUAUGGACCGGAGUCACAUGAUGUUCACUAGUGAUGUCCUUCUCCUCAAAGACGAUAAACAACUAUACUAGGGUAAACAAAUCACAGUUGGGCAAUUGUCAGAAUUAUGAUCGCACCGCAAUGCUAAUUACGCUCCUUGAUAGUUAGAGGUUUAAUAGUAAUGGGCAGUACACCAAGACAAGUAGACCGUUUAUUCAUCAGCAUCUACUUACUAAUCAUCCACCUUGAGAUAUUUAUCCAUAACAUCUCUCCGGUACUAAGUUGCGAGCCCCACCCAAAGUGUAAACUCAAAGCAACGGCCAACUACAUAAACGAACUAUGCGUAAGGUAAAAAAUCCUUGCAACCGUGGUCACAAGCACCAUUGUUUUCUCCCUGGUGGCAACAAGAACAUCCCCUAGUAUCAUGUUUAUGUCACUCAAGCUAGACAUCAAGGGGCCCGAACCCACAAUCAUGCAUAACGCUCCCUCUUGGAGUUACGAUCUACUACUUGGCCAAACCAAUAAAAAGCAAGGGAGAACAUGCAAGAAUCACUAAGGAACAUAAUAUAAAAGGAUAAUCAAAGAUAUAACUCAUAACAAUCUGAACGUAAUCUCAUAAUCUAUCGGAUCCCAACAAACACAGAAUAGAAAAAGCAAGAGAAUUACAUAGAUGCCUUGAUCAUGUAGGGCACCUCACAAGGACUAACCGUUGAAGCACAAGAUUGGAGAGAAGACAUCACAUAGCUACUGGUCAUGGAGUCAUGGUCCAAGGAGGACUACUCACGGCACGUCCGGGAAGCGCCCAUGGCGGUGGAGAAGCUCCCGGAGGUCAAUCCUGCCUCCGGCAGGGUGCCGAGAAGAGGUCUCCUGACGCUCCCGAUCUUGGAAGCGCUACGACGGCGGAACGAUGGAGAAAUUCGCGAUUCCAGAAAGUCUGCGAGGGUUUCCUCGCGAAUCUUUAAAUAUAGGCCAAAGCAGGGCACCGGAGGAGGUGGGACCCACCCAGGCGACCUCCUGGCGCGGCCUAGGGCCUGGCCGCGCUAGCAGGCCGCCUGGGAGGCCCCUGGACCCCCCUGGAGAAGCCCUUGCCAAAUAGAUAUCAGCACACAGAAACUGGUACUGGGUGCACUGAGUCAGUAGGUUAUUCCAAAUAUGUGUAAAAUUAUAUAGCAGUGUAUCAAAACAUAUAACAAUGUCACCCAAAAGAUCAUGGAACAAGCAGAAAAUAUAGAUACGUUUGGGAUGUAUCAACAUCCCCAAGCUUAAUUUGUGCUCGUCCUCGAGUAGAUAAAUGAUAACACAAUAAUUUAUGUGGUGAUAUGCUAACACACAUAUAGGAACUUCAAAGUAAAGCAAGUGAGAUAUGCAAUUCAAGUCAAGACAAUAACAAGCAAGAGUCUAUAUCGAGUAUUGAAUUUAGCAAAGUAAGAACAUAAAGGUGCAAGAGCUCUCGCUGUUUGUGACUCGAAUGUCUCCAAAUGGUGUUUGCGUGCAAGAAGUGGGAGAUGGGUUCAGAGAUAAUUUUUUUAAUUGAGAACUCAAUCUACUAAACCUCACACUUAGUCUCCUUCAGAAUCUUAUUUUGACUCAUCCCCAUACCACUUGUGAGGCACAAGUCAAAAUGAUCCUCUCCCUUUCGAUUUUGAGCACUCAUGCAAUGAAUGAGCAAGAUAUGUUGACACUUAGGAUGGCAAAUAGAAUAAUGAUGGGGAAGGAAGACAAAUAGGUGUGAAAGGCUCACAUCAAUGAGGACAACCAUAGGAGAGAGAAAGCCAAAUGAUAGAUAUGUUGUGAGGAGUAGGGAUUGCCAUGUAACAGAUGCACAUAUGAGCUAAGGUAAGCUCUCCAAUAGAACUAGUGGGGGUGCAUCCAACUUGUUUGCUCAUGAAGACCUAGAGCUCAUUUGAGGAGGCUCAUCACUGGAAUAUGCAAAGCAAGUUCUAUAGUGUAAGGGUCCCCACAUAGUUAUGCAUGAAUGAUAAUCUCUAUGUAGUACCAAUAUAACAAUGGAGUACGAGUGUGGAUCUUUCAAAAGGAAUAGUAGUGUUGUCCCACUACAAGAAAUAUGUCAACUAACGACCUUCAAUAUUGGUCACUGAAUGGUCAUUGAUUUCCAUUUGUGACGUUUUUAUGACCAAAAAAAAAGGUCUAAAGCUGAGGGUCUUUAGUGAACUAUAACGACCUUUUUUUCUGGAUUGGUUGUAGGAUUUUAUGACCAAACAAAAGGUCGUAGGUUUAACGACCAAAUGAUUUGGUCACUAGCAAUCUGCCCACACCACGUCAGAGCCACCGUGGUAGGCUGACGUGGCAGAAUUAUAACUAAAUGAAAAGGUCGUAAAUAAGAUUCAGCCCGGUCCAUUCCGGUCGUCUACAUGGGCCGGGCCCAAUAAUUUGGCCUUUUAUUUUCUGGGAUAGAAUCUUUUACUCGGCAGGUUUUUUAUUAGUCCACUUUUCUUUUGGGCCUUGGCCUACUCUUUUUAGUCCAGUUCUUGUUUGGGCCUUGGCCUACUCUUUUUUAGGCCCAAGCCUUUUUAGACAAAUUCUAGUUUGGGCCUUGGCCUACUCUUUUUUUAGGCCCAAGCCUUCUUAGUCUAUUUCUUGUUUGGGCCUCGGCCUUUUUGCUGUCCAAACUAACUUUAGUGCCCAAACAAAAUGGUCCAAACAAAACUUAAAUAAUUUACAACUUCAUAAAAUACUUCAUCAGGUUCAAAUAGAGCAAGACAUUGUUUCUUCACCAGAAUGACCAAUCACUUAAAUAAUUGACAACUUCACAGGUGCACAGCUUCACAAAAACUCAUCACGCAUUUCCACCAAGCUCUCAAAGUCCAUGCCCAGCGGACUUUCCUGAUGGUCCGUCGCAACCGCCAUAGUUGCUUUCUGCCUUGUGACUAUCAGGUUCAUCAGGUUCCAUGAUGCUCUUUGUUUGUCCUGGAGGUGGGGCCAUCACCCUUCCUGGAGGCAUUGCAGCAGAUGCUUCUAAGCUCUUCCUCUUC
RNAcentral lists this long non-coding RNA (87355 nucleotides) under Hordeum vulgare. RNAcentral describes it as "long non-coding RNA (HVUL_LNC008903)". The record is from RNAcentral. Lineage: Eukaryota; Viridiplantae; Streptophyta; Magnoliopsida; Poales; Poaceae.